UUCGCUAGCAAAGGACUAUCAGAAAGGUUCAGGCAAUCUGCUGCCCAGGUCAUACACGAUUAUUCAUCAGGUUGGACACAAGCUAAGCUGCUUUCCUUCUGGAGAGUAAUUUGAAAAACUGUUCAAAGGCAGGGUAGAAUGAUCAUCCUUCGUGAUACACUAAACUGGAAACAAAAAACUCAGCUCGAUGCAUUUACAUGGACAGAAAUCGAAGUAUGUAACGGGUGAAGCUACCAUCAUGCCUCCAGGUCGUUCAGGUUUCUCGGAACUUUGACAAAAAGUUUUGAAACGAAGAGAAACCUUCCAUCGCAUCGUGCGGCAUGUUAAGCGUGAAAGGGGGAAGAACACUCGGACCAGCCUUCAGGUUCUUCGGGCCAGCGGCUGACGGUAGCGCAAGUGCAGGCUGCUGUCUGUUGAGCUUUUCUAUGAUGUACGAGAAAGUUCCAAAAGCCAGGCAGCUCUGAAUCAGAGUUUGCGGUGCACCUGCAACAGACAGCAGAAAAUAUGGUACUGAGGUGAUCGAUACAUAUGAAGCAGUUUAUUUAUGCUACAGGAGCAAAAAUAGAAACAUUAACUCCUGCCCCACUCCCUACAAAAAGCAAAGAGAGAAGUUGUAUUCUCAGCACAAAUGAUGAUCCAAACUAACCCCUUUGAUUAUACGAUUUUGGUUAGUAGAAUCUACAUUUCUACGAUCCUAAUAGUUAAGAUUCUACCACUGGUGAUCACUGGUGGAGCUACAGUGGAUUUCUUGGGCGGCCCAACCUGAAGAAGAAACCAUAAGAGAUGGGCCAGGCCACUUGGCAAGCUAGUUAGGCAGUUUUUCAGCUAGGCAGGGCGGGCCAGAGCACAGGUUCGCCCCAACGUAGCUCUGAUCCGAUUCAAAAUAACGAUUUUGACAACCUUGUCGAGCGACCAAGCGGAACGCUCGUUUCAGCAUCUCUCCCUCUCUCGAUCCGCGACGACGGCAAAGCACUCCCACCUCUCCCUCUCCGGCAACGGCUGUCCUAGCCUCCCCCCACUUCUGUCCUCUGAUGGCAUGCAGCAGCAGCGGGCAGCCAGGUACAAGCUGGGUGACGAUCAAGCAGCUGGACGGCGGCUGUAGCGGACAGCUUGGGCAGAGCGGAGGCAGUAGAAGGAGCAGAAGGAGCAGCAGCUCAUGGGCUGUGGCUGGUAGUUGCAGGUGGCGGCCUCACAUGCUGGGCGGCGGCCAGGCGCUGCACGUCUCGAUUUGUUGAGCGACACAACAUGAGGAAUUGGCAGGCGGUGGCUACACCACAGAAGAGCAGGCUCUGCUCCAUUGUCCACUCUCCCUUGUGCGUUUGCUAGACUAGUGAUAAUCACCUAAAUGGAAAUUGUACAUGCUUUUUCUUGCCUUUUGCAACUACAGAAAAUUUGUGCAUGUUGUGGACCAUUUAUUGAUGAUUCUUUCUAAAUUUGUUAGUAAAAUAUGAUUGUGUAAGACUAUUGAUGUUAUUUAUUUGACAUGAUUGUGAUGCAAAAUAUAAAUUAUUGGUGAACAAAAAAUAAAUAAAACAUUGUUUUGAAAUUAAAUAAAGUGAUUCCGAAAAUACAAUUAAUGUUGCAUAUAUAGCCAGAAAAGCAAAACACUAAUCUGAACAUUUCUCAUUAUUCCAUUCCAUCAACCAAACACUGAGAUGUAACUGUUUCAUUCCACCUCAUUAUUCAUACGAAACACAAAGAUGGAACCAUUACAUUCCAUUCCACUUGGUUCUUCAACCAAACACACCCUCAGUGUCUUUGGCGGCACGGCUGGCUUCUGGGCGAUAGGGCAUGCUCGUGGCGGCCAUGGCGGCGACCUAUGUUNGAUAUGGCGUCCAGCGGAGGCUAGCGGCGCGUGUCGAUGGCUUCUGUUGUGCCUAAGACGGCAAUGGCUGGCGACAAUGGUGGCCCAACAGUGCUCGGUCACGACAGCUGCCAAGGCUUCGCCUUUCUCUAUGGGCACGUAGGGCGUGUGAGAUGGUGGCCCUAGGCAGGUUACGGUGGGGGUGGCGACAGUGUGGGGUCCUAAAGGAGGAUGCGGCCGGCGAUGCCGAGGCUGCCCGAAGACCGAAAGUGUCGGUUCCUGGGCAGCUCCCUAUUGAGAUCUGGAGGAGCCAAAUCUUGAAGGAGCACUAGCUGCCGAUCCGUCCAGAGGUUUUGCAGGCAGGUGGCUGGCGCGCGAGCCGAGGUGCAGGGUUUGGGUAUCCCACCCCCCUCAUGGACGGGCAGUUCGUUGGGCAGCCAUGGCGGCGGUGCUGCCCGGCUAUGGCCGUUGGCCUUGUGGUGGGACCCCGAGGGCAGGUGUCUUCUUCCCUUCGGUCGGCGACGGCCACAUGCUAUGCCGUCGGUGAGAGGUUCGGAUAGGGAUGUCGAGGCGGUGGCCUCAGGUGGCGGGCUACUCGAUAGGCUCUCGACGGGUGUACGGGUGUACGGGUGGCACAGUGGUGGUUGUGCUUCUUGGUCAUGUGGGUGGCGAGAGGUGUUGUGGUGGGUGGCAUUGGUGUCUUCUCUGUUGUGGCAGCGAAGGUGCGCAGAUCUGGUCAUGGAGAUCCCGGCUUCGUAGCAGCGGUUGACUUCGUUACUUCUUUGUGGCUCAGGGUAACAACCGGGUGAAAGCUCUGCGCUUCGUCCCCGGCAGAGACGGCGUCCAUGGGUGCUACUUUCCUCUUGAGGAUGUUGUCGCAGUUUCCCCUACCAGGUUUCUGAGUGAAAACAUUUGUUUGUUCCGUCGGCAACGGCGAUGAAUUGUGCCAUUUCCCUCUUGAGAGUGCCUUAUCUUUGGUUGUGGCGUGGUGUUGUCUUCACGCCCUUUUGUAUUCUUGCUCAUCUUCGUCGUGUCUUCCCAUCCGAUGUGUGUUGUCCAUUUUUUUUUCUAUUUUCUACUUUGUUUGAGGGCUUCCUCACCAUCAUGUAUCGUUCAACCAUGUACUUGUGGUUCGUGCUUUACCAUCCAUGCCAGCAAUUGUGCAUCCAUAAAUGGAACCAAGGGGGUAAGGCAAAUCAAGGAGACAAAAUAAAAAUCUAUGACAUCAAAACUGUAAGAACUAAGAAAAUGUGUCAUGUAACACCAAACUAAUUCGGAAAUCAUUAGCAAUAUGCGGUAAACCACAAGAGAGUACAGAAGCAAGUGUACAACUGAUGGAGAACUCAAAACGAUCAACUUUUUAGCCAUAAAACUUGCAACUGAUGCCAGAUAUCUAACCAUGACCUAAAAGGCUAUGCGUGCUUUCAAAACAAAUCACAAGUCCAGAAACCACCAUGACACUAGCACACGUUUGCAGCCAACACUGGGGUUGCCAACCAGGUAAAUUUUUUAUCCAAAUAACCUACACUAGGCAACUAGAAUAAUACAGGCAAAUCAUUUUCACUCUUACUGUUAAACUACAUUAAACUAUGUCAAAACCAUGGUCUUUGGGCAAGGUAUCCAGGAACAACGUUAAAUUUAGAUAGUUCCAGCUAUUAAUUGCAUUGCUAUAACUUUACCUGGAAAACUCAAAGCAAGGCCAGUGCAACAGCCUGCAACUCCUGCAUUAAUAACUGUAGACAAAAGAUCCACAAGUCAAUGGUCAUCCUUGUCAUUUUAUACACCCUAAGUACUUCAAAAAAGGUAGCAGAAUAGCAGCACAAUCUUAAAGGGGGCAUCAAAGACAGACCGUCAUCUUUUCCACGUAGCUUUCUCAAAGAGCAAGAAACCAAACUUUGAACGCCGGCAAGAACAGCAAAUAUCUAGAACAACAGACAAAAUUCUCAAUGUGAUGGUUAACAGAGAAAAGUCUAUUCCAAACGAAAUGAACAUUGGUAUCCAAUUAAUGAAAUAUGUAUCAUCAUACCUUAGCAGAAGAGGCAGCGUCAGCAAAUGAGCCUUUAAACCCUUUUGUGGUAACCAAACCUUUUCCUAAAAAAUCACCAGAUAUAGUUAACAUAACAAAGAGAUAAUUGUUGUGUUUUGAAUAGAAGGAUGACACACAGCAGGGCAGCCUGACAUAACGUAUACCAAACAAAAAUAUUGUGCACAAUGAACACACAAGGCUGAACCAAUUCAAAUUUACAGGUAGCAUUAAAUGAUUGAAUUGAUUUGACAUGACCACCAGAUCCACUACCAUAUUCCAUAAAAGAUCUACAUUGUUAUAUUCAAGGUGGUAAUGGACGUAACCAGAUAGGCUAUUUUUGUUAUCCGCAAAUUAAGGUGGCAUUUAGUUGGUGAUUGGUUCACUUUGCCUCAGCCUGACUGUCAGUGGUGGAGUGCACAAAGCAGCAAUUGGUUUCUUUAUACAAAAUUAGAGCAGUGAUUAAGUAUCACCCAUGCAUGUUGAGCAACUUAACAUGAUAACAGACACCGCGAAGCUCCAUACGUGCCUCCUUUACUAAGAAAGACCCUGCAUGAGAAUGCAAUGUCGGGAGCAUCUAAUCUACCAAUUAAUCACCAGGUCUAGGUAAAACAGAUUUGACAAUUGACAUGCUUUGGAUUUUGGGCAUCCAAAAACUUCUUUGGAUGACAAUGAGACGCAAAAUCCAAAAAUUGGAUUCUAAAAUUAGGCGUAUGCUUGAACCUAUUUCUGUGCCAAACCACUGGUAACAGAUUAGCAACCAAGAACGGAGCUAGGUGUGUAACUCCAUUGUCUCUUUGUGUGUUGCUUUUACUUUAGUUCUUAGUCCACAACAGGUUGUAUGAACACACCACAAACACACAGUAAACAUACGAGUUGAGUAUGUUUGUAUGAGCCAAAAGAAAGUUCUCUACCAAAUUUUCUGAGAAAACCCGCACAUGUUCUGUAACAUUUUCUUUCAUUUGGCAGCAUUAGCAAGUAAUUUCCCCCCCCCCAUUUUAUCCUUUUGCAAGGAAUAAACACACACUGCAGCUUCCAGAUAGGUACGUAUGCAUGCAGUCAGGCCUUGAAUCAAGUAAACGGAGCAAAAACAAUUUGGUUUUACCAACAUUUCUGAGAAACUUCGCACAUGUUUCAAUCUCAGUAAGCACGUGCUUUUUCACGAGGAAUAAUUAUGCGGUUAACUGUAAAAUCCAUCAAUAAUCUGCUCCAUAAUCCUUGGUGCCAGUGUCACACAAAUUAAACAAAAUUGCUACAAGUUCAACUAUCCUGAAUAUGUAACUGUAAUCAGCUGCAUGAAACCCAAACAACACACCAUGUGCUGCAAUUGAGCCUUAUCUCCUAAAUGUCCUCAACACUGGCACAGUAUACUGCGAAUCUAACAAAGAAAAACCAUAAUCAAUGCCUUAUGAAUGACACUACCCAUAGACCGUGUGAACAAUCAGUACUAAGAGCUCAAUUGCACACCCCAGAUUAGACGAACACCUUAAGACACAACCUUAUGGAAUAUAAUCAAAUCUGAUCUCCUGCCAGUCAAAAACCUUAUCAAAUUACGAGAGGCCUAAAAUAGAAAGGGAGCCAGCCAGGACCAAAGAUCGCAGAGCCCUAACCCUAACGGACGUGUCGAGCCGAACGAGGAGGUGGAGGGGACGGCGGUGUUACCAUAUCCAACGACGGCUCCGACGAGGGAACCGGCGGCCGACUCCCAGGCGAAGCGGAGGAGGCAGACCCCAGGNNNNNNNNNNNNNNNNNNNNNNNNNNNNNNNNNNNNNNNNNNNNNNNNNNNNNNNNNNNNNNNNNNNNNNNNNNNNNNNNNNNNNNNNNNNNNNNNNNNNNNNNNNNNNNNNNNNNNNNNNNNNNNNNNNNNNNNNNNNNNNNNNNNNNNNNNNNNNNNNNNNNNNNNNNNNNNNNNNNNNNNNNNNNNNNNNNNNNNNNNNNNNNNNNNNNNNNNNNNNNNNNNNNNNNNNNNNNNNNNNNNNNNNNNNNNNGACUUCAAUGAUUGCCGUAAAAGAUAGCGCGUGAGAGCCCCAUACCUGACCAAACGAGCCGGCCCGACACGGCCCAUGGUAAUCGGGCCUGGCACGGCACGGCCCGUCCAGGCACGUUUAUUAAUCGGGUCGUGUCGUGUCAGCCCGUGGGCUGCGCCUCUAGGCCUGUAAGAUUUGAGAGAGAGAGGUUUUGGAUCAGCACACUUUAUUCAAUCUAAACCAUGAUGUCUAACAGAAAACCCUAAGGAGGUAGUCAGCGGCAGCAAUCGUGCGAGGUGGGUUAGUGCUGGGUUAUCGAUUCCGAGGCAUGCGGACGUGCAUGCGUGCUGGGUCAUCGCCAUGCAUGGGCUUGCUUGAGGGCCAAGUCGGCCGACGCCAUGGGCUGUAGUGAGGUCUAUUCCAAAACCACCCCUCCCCCCCCCCGCCCGCAGUCGAUGCCUCGCUGUCGGAGAUGCAUAGACCGGAGCGGAAUUCCCGAAACAUCGACGGUGGAAGCCCCUUGGUCAUGACGUCGGCGAACUGUUGAGCCGUAGGUACGUGAAGAACACGGACAUGCCCCAGCGCCACCUUCUCGCGGACGAAAUGGAUGUCGAGCUCGAUGUGCUUGGUGCGACGGUGAUGGAUGGCAGAGAGGUACACCGCCGAGACAUUGUCGCAGUAGACUACCGUGGCUUUGGCGACGCCGCAUUGUAGCUCAGUUAAGAGCUGACGCAGCCACGAGCACUCGGCAACCGCAUUGGCAACGGCAGGGUACUCGGCCUCCGCGCUAGAGCGGGACACGGUGGGUUGCCGUUUGGACGACCACGACACCAGCGAAGGCCCCAUGUAGAUGCAGUAGCCAGAGGUGGAGCGGCGAGUGUCGGGGCAGCCGACCCAGUCGGCGUCGGAGUAGGCGACGAUGUCGAGCGACGAGGAGGCGCAGAGAGAGAGCCCAAGCGAGGGCGACCCGUGGAUGUACCUCAAGAUGCGCUUCACCAAUGUCCGGUGAACGUCACACGGAGCAUGCAUUGUGGAGGCAGACUUGUUGCACCGCGUACUCGAGAUCGGGCCUCGUCAGUGUCAGGUACUGGAGGGCGCCGACGAUGCUGCGGUAGAAGGAGGCAUCGGAGAAGGGGACGCCAGCCUGCCCUAAGACCUUGCCCGAGGUGUCGAUGGGGGUAGAUGCUGGCUUACAGUUGAUCAUGCCGGCGCAGUCCAGCAGUUCGAGGGCGUACUUCUUCUGGCAGAGGAAGAAGCCAUCGGAGCGGCGCGUGACCUCCACGCCCAGGAAGUAAUGGAGCGCGCCAAGGUCCUUCAGGGCGAACUCGCAUUGAAGGAGACCGACGACGCGACGGAGGAGAGCGUCGGUGGAGGCCGUCAAGACAAUGUCAUCGACGUACAGCAGAAGGUACACCAUGUCAGUGCCACGGCGGUAGACGAACAACGAUGCGUCGGACCUGGUGAUGACGAAGCCGACACGGACCAGGAACGCGGUAAUGCGUUGGUACCAGGCGCAGGGAGCGUGCUUGAUGCCGUAGAGGGACCGAGAGAGCAGGCAGACGUCGUCGGGGCGCGCAGGGUCGACGAAGCCAGCCGGCUGCUGGCAGAAAACUUGCUCCGUCAGGUGCCCGUGCAAGAAGGCGUUGGAGACGUCGAGUUGAUGGACGACCCAGCGGCGCGAGUAGGCGAGCUGAAGGACACAAUGACUCGUGCCCGGCUUCACGACGGGGGCGAAAGUCUCGGUGAAGUCGUGUCACGCCCAAGAUGCGACCCUAUCCUCAAUUUGGCACGAGGGCCUCGUCAGGGAUAGAAGCGCAUCUCGUCGUGUCGCAAGAAUGGAUAUCGUUACAAGUACAUGUACUAAAAGGAAGAGAUAUAUAAUAGAAUUGGCUUACACUUGCCACAAGCUACAUCAGAGUCACAUCAGUACAUUACAUAUUCAUCAUGAAGAAGAGCAGGGUCCGACUACGGACGAAAACAAACGAGAAAAGAAGAACGGCGUCCAUCCUUGCUACCCCAGGUUGCCGGCCUGGAACCCAUCCUAGAUCGAUGAAGAAGNNNNNNNNNNNNNNNNNNNNNNNNNNNNNNNNNNNNNNNNNNNNNNNNNNNNCCUUUACCUGUAUCUGCAACUGGUGUUGUAGUAAUCUGUGAGCCACAUGGGACUCAGCAAUCUCAUUUCCAAAGGUAUCAAGACUAGCAAAGCUUAAUGGGUGAGGUAAGGUUAAGUGGUGAGGUUGCAGCAGCGGAUAAGCAUAUAUUUGGUGCCUAAACUUACGAGUACAAGAAAUAAGAGGGGGAAGAUCUACGCAUAACGGACGUGAACUACUGGUGAUCAAAGGAAUGAUCCUGAGCACCUACCUACGUCAGACAUAACCCCACCGUGUCCUCGAUCGGAGUAAGAACUCACGAAAGAGACAGUCACGGUUACGCACCUAGUUGGCAUGUUUUAAUUAAGUUAUCUUCAAGUUAUCUAGAACCAGUGUUAAACAAAGCUUCCACGUUGCCACAUAACCGCGGGCACGGCUUUCGGAAAGAUUCAACCCUGCAGGGGUGCUCCAACUAGUCCAUCACAAAUUACCACAAGCCGCAUAGAAAUCCUCAAUCACGAAGCUCGCGAUCUCGUCGGAUUUCCUAGUGGAAAACCUCAACUCUGAGAUUACCCAAAGCAUCACCGGAAUCCCGAUGCACAAGAUAUCUCGUCAAAGGUAAAACUAAUCCAGCAAGGCCACCCGCGCGUGUCGACGAUCCCGAUAGGAGCCGCGUAUCUCGUUCUCAGGACACGAUGGAUGAGCGACGCGUACGGUGGCCUGAUAGAAAUCACCCAAGUUUCCCUGGGUUGGCCCCGCACAGUGCUCUGUUUUGGACCAGCACCAUCAGCACUGGCCCUCCCUGUAUUAUGUAGAAUUACUCCUCGGGUUCAUGACGCCCUAUGCUUUCAGUAUUAACAAAAUUAUUAUGUUGGGAAAAUGUAGUACCAAUGUUGGGCCUUGCCAGACCAGCUUUAAUCUAAAACGAAUUAUCAAGGGGGUCCCCAUAACAACCCCCAUCGUGUUAGGAGCGCUCAAUUAUGGAACAUAACACCGGUAGCCGAAACUAAGGGGGCAAAGGUGGAACAAAACACCAGGCUAGAAAGGCCGAGCCUUCCACCUUUUACCAAGUAUAUAGGUCCAUUAAAUUAAAUAGCAUUAAUAUGGUGAUAUGACAAGGAACUCAUGUUUUCACAUGGAAGCAACUACACCUGCAACUAGCAACGCUAACAACAUGGUUAAGCAAGCAGUAGCAUAGCCAAUCAGUGGUUUGCUAGGUUGAACAAGUUGAAGGUUUCAUGGCAUUGUUGAGAGGCUGAUAUUUAACAUGUGGUAGGCAACGAGACAUAAUCGAUAGAAGCGGUAAAACUAGCAUGGCAAUGAUAGUAAUGGUAUCCGGGGAAAUGGUCAUCUUGCCUGAGAUCCCACUUGGAAGAAGAACAACUCCGUGAAGUCGGCGAACCAAUGUGGUCAGACGGGUCCUCACAUUCCGACACGCUUGCGGAACUCUAUUGAGACGGAGCAAACCGGAAACAAACAUCAACACAGAUAUUCACCACACGAUGCACAACAUGAUGCAUACCCAAUAUGAUGCAUGGACGCCCAACCCCUAAUGAUGCACUUAAACCAUCCUACAUCGGUAAACAGGUGCCACAUCAUCAUGAAGUGACACCUCAGCAGGACUGCCCAAAACUGGAAACUACUAACUCCAUUGGAUUCCUUGGGUUCUCCUCCCCCAAAUCUAUAUACUACACUCCUAUAUAUGCAUGCAGAAAAACACCAGAAACAGCAAAGGAAAAACUACACAAGAUCAAACUCUGCUAACAACAAGAACAGGGGUUGUUCUUGAUAUGCCAGAUUUGGCAUAUACCUCUUCUGAAAUAUCCAGAUAUGGAAAUACAUCACAACACCAAUCAACAAAAUUAUAUAAUCGUCAGGGGGUCCCACUGGUCAUACUCACCAGGGCCCCUAGUAAGGCAUGUGGGCUCUGGACCCACUGACAGAGGCACACUACAACAAGCAACUAAAAACACAAGGGAAAAAACUAACAUGGGAGUAGGGGGACUCGAACCCACUACCUUCUUGCAAGACAACAGGGCAAUCACCACUGAGCUAGGCUCGGAUCACUGCCCUAACAAGGGGAGUAACCCACCUAUGCUACACGUGCAGACAACGCAACAAAUUGAAACAAAAACCCAAAUAAGAGGACGCGCGAGGGGCUCGAACCCUCGACCUACUGGCGCUGCAGUGGCUCGGUUGCCACUACGAUGGUGAAGUAUAACUGCUAGAACAAGGGAAGAAAUGCACAUAUGCAGGCUCUGCUAGCUAGCACAGGAGAACAAAAAUCGUAGAGAAUAAAAGGGGGGCGCUGGGUCUCGAACCCGAGACGUUGAGAACGAAAACAUGCUCGAUGCCACUGCGCUACCGUGGGGAUUCUGCCUAAGAAGGGAGCAAAGCAGAUCUAAAAGAAAACAUGGGGCGUCGCUGGAGCAGGGAGACGCCGGCGACGACGACGCGCGCCAGAGCCACUCGCCUGCAGGCGCAUACGACGCACAACCACGCGAUGCGCUACGUCCCUCGCGUCACUACAUAGCAGGCGCGGAACCUACGCCUAUAAGACGCAUGCACGCAGAGCUGCGGAAACUAGCGCAUCCUGCCGGUGCAACUCCGACAGGGCGGCGCCCACGCGCAACAUCGGCGACCUACUGCAGAGAGGGAAACGAAGGGGGGAUAGAGCUGCGCUCACCCAGGGUGCAGAGAGAGGGCUCGCGGGAGGGGAGACACGCCGCGCGACGACGUCCUGCUGCAGAGAACUCGUCGGAGAGGAAGAAGGACCAUCCGCCGAGGAGGUCGAGGCCGUCGUCCUUGGCGCUAGCUGCCCGUGGGAAUGGAACUCCAUGGGCGCCCGCGAGCUCCUGGUCCAGGAGGGGGAAGAAGGGGGCGUCGGGCUACCACGCAUCAGGCACUUGCCCGAGCCGGCCAUGGUGCGGUGGAGCUCGGGAACUCGCCCCGACGGCGCUAGGAGGGANGACGAGGGUUAGGGUUUCAGAGAGUCCGAGGCUGCUAAGUAUCUCGCACCACCCGCUCGGGGCCGUCUGAUCGAGGGAAGAAACGAUCUAUGGUGGUCAGGGGGUUCGUACGUGCUGACAUGAUCGAGGAGGAAGAAGCUGCCGCCAGCCAGGCCUGGGCUGAUUGCACUCACCUGGGCCUGGUGCUCCCUCUCUCACUGAGAAGGCCUACCUAAUAAAACAUUACAGCGAAAAUCAAACCACACGGGCUAAAGGAAAAUAGUUUUGGUGGAAACAAAAAUAUAACUGGGCUUUUAAAAUGUUGCCACUGUUUAUAAAAAUAAGUGGAACAUUUUUAGAAGUCCAAAAUUAUAUUCAUCUAAUUUAAAUGGGCUUUGAUUUUUUAAAUAAGAUAAGAAGGAAAGUAAAGUAGAAACCAGAGGGGUUGCCUCCACAAAAUGAAAAGGAUUUUUUUUAGGGAAAGAUGAACAUUUUUUUAAAUGGAGAAACAAAGCCUUUUAAACCUGCCACAAAUUAACAUAGAGAGAGAAGGGUUUUCUCCUUAUGGAGCAACAUGUGGGUUUUGACAUGCACUUGUUGCCCCCACACCUAAACAAUCACUAAGGACAUCAACACAACACUUGCACAUCACAACAAGGACACCCACAUCAACACAACCACAACAAAAGGGAAAGAAUGCAAUGCAAGAAGGCAUGAUGCACAUGAAAUGAUGACACAAAGUUAGGCUCACCCCACAUCACACCAACAUGCCAAGGUUGCCAUACAAGGAGGAUACAAAAGGGGAGGGGAGAUUGCACUUGGGCUGUCACAAGUCGAGACCAGCCCGUUGCCGGAAGCCGCGAACGACCCAGCUGCCAGGUGCGAUUCCUCAGUAGCGCGUCGUACUCGUCUUGCAUGACGGCGCGCCAGUGAGGGUCCCGGAGCGCCGAGUGGACGGACGCAGGGAGCGGCGAAGGAGCCGUCGUGGUGGCAGUGCAGACGUACUCGUUGGAGGAGUACCUCUGGCUGGGUCGAUGGACACCCGCGCGCGCACGGGUAAGCACUCCGAAGUGUACGGGGGCAGCAGGUGGGGCAGUUGAGGGAGAGGCCGGCCCCGUACUGGGCACGGGGGCAGCAGGUGGUGGAGGCGUCGUGCCGACAGGAGCGGGGCCCGGUGGUGCAGGAGACGGGGCCGAGACGCCCGGGGCAACUAGCGGAGAAGNNNNNNNNNNNNNNNNNNNNNNNNNNNNNNNNNNNNNNNNNNNNNNNNNNNNNNNNNNNNNNNNNNNNNNNNNNNNNNNNNNNNNNNNNNNNNNNNNNNNNNNNNNNNNNNNNNNNNNNNNNNNNNNNNNNNNNNNNNNNNNNNNNNNNNNNNNNNNNNNNNNNNNNNNNNNNNNNNNNNNNNNNNNNNNNNNNNNNNNNNNNNNNNNNNNNNNNNNNNNNNNNNNNNNNNNNNNNNNNNNNNNNNNNNNNNNNNNNNNNNNNNNNNNNNNNNNNNNNNNNNNNNNNNNNNNNNNNNNNNNNNNNNNNNNNNNNNNNNNNNNNNNNNNNNNNNNNNNNNNNNNNNNNNNNNNNNNNNNNNNNNNNNNNNNNNNNNNNNNNNNNNNNNNNNNNNNNNNNNNNNNNNNNNNNNNNNNNNNNNNNNNNNNNNNNNNNNNNNNNNNNNNNNNNNNNNNNNNNNNNNNNNNNNNNNNNNNNNNNNNNNNNNNNNNNNNNNNNNNNNNNNNNNNNNNNNNNNNNNNNNNNNNNNNNNNNNNNNNNNNNNNNNNNNNNNNNNNNNNNNNNNNNNNNNNNNNNNNNNNNNNNNNNNNNNNNNNNNNNNNNNNNNNNNNNNNNNNNNNNNNNNNNNNNNNNNNNNNNNNNNNNNNNNNNNNNNNNNNNNNNNNNNNNNNNNNNNNNNNNNNNNNNNNNNNNNNNNNNNNNNNNNNNNNNNNNNNNNNNNNNNNNNNNNNNNNNNNNNNNNNNNNNNNNNNNNNNNNNNNNNNNNNNNNNNNNNNNNNNNNNNNNNNNNNNNNNNNNNNNNNNNNNNNNNNNNNNNNNNNNNGGAGGCGAGCUGGAGACCUGUUGAAAGGGAAAAACAUACUCGUCAAAGUACACGUACCUGGAGAUGAGAACUCGCCCAGAUGCCGGAUCGAAGCAACGGAAACCCUUGGUAUUGGGGGGGGGGUAGCCGAAGAAUACGCAGAGAAUAGACUGGGGGCGAGUUUAUGUGGAGAAGUAGCGAGAAGAUUAGGAUAACAGAGGCAACCAAACACCCGGAGGUUGUCGUAGGAGGGUUGGUGACCAAAGAAGAGGUGAUCGGGAGUGAAUUGGCCACGAGCACGGUAGGGGCGCAGGUUGAGGGUGUGGGUGGCGCUGGAGAGAGCCUCGGUCCAGAACCGGGGCGGAACGGCGGCGUGAAGGAGCAGCGCACGAACAACGUCGUUGAGGGUACGAAGAGCACGUUCGGCACGCCCAUUUUGCUGGGAUGUAUACGGGCAUGUAAGGCGGAGGAUGGAACCGUGCGCGGAAAGCAAAGAGUGGAUGCCAUGGUUGUCGAAUUCGCGCCCGUUGUCGGUUUGGAGGCCGAGUAUAGGGCGGGAAAACUACGUUUGAACAAAGGCGAAGAACGAAGUGAGCGUGGGGAGGACAUCCGACUUGCGAUGCAACGGAAAAGUCCAUACAAAGUGCGAGAAAUCAUCGAGAAGCACCAAGUAGUAUUGAAACCCUGAAUUGCUUAUUAUUGGAGAGCACCAUACAUCACAAUGCAACAAUUCAAAUGGAAAACGAGAGAUGUGAGAAGAAGAAAAAGGAAGGCGAGUGCUCUUGCCCAAACGGCAAGCAGAGCACGAGUGAGGCGCACUUUUAAUACAUUGAAAAAGAUUGCUACGGAGGAGCUGGUGCAUGGUCGAGGCACCGGGGUGCCCCAAGCGGGCAUGCCAGAUAUCGACGCCCGCGCGAGGAGGGCGACGCCGGAGCGGAUAGAGAUCACCAGGGCUAUCACAUCGGAGCAGCACCGUCUUGGUCCGCAGGUCCUUGAUGGAGAAACCAAAGGGGUCAAAUUCAACCAAAACAAAAUUCUGACGAGUGAGUGCACGAACAGAAAUGAGAUUAGUGAUAAGCUGAGGAGAAACGAGCACAUCAUAGAGUUUAAUGGGAGAAUGAGGGGAGAGAGAGAUCACCGUGGUGUGUGAUGGGGAGAGAGGAACCAUCACCCACCACGAUGCGAGUAGAUGUAGGGAAGGGUUUAGACUGGGAGAGGAUACCAGGGUGGGAGGCCAUGUGGGAGGAUGCGCCAGUGUCCAUGAACCAGUCGUCGUUGCCGGAGUAGGCGGCCGACGAGGGAGCCUGAUGCAGGGCCGCCAGGAGCGCUGGAUCGUAGGGGGAGGACGCCCCGCCGGAGUUGCUGAGCCAGUGCCCAGGGGGCGUGGNNNNNNNNNNNNNNNNNNNNNNNNNNNNNNNNNNNNNNNNNNNNNNNNNNNNNNNNNNNNNNNNNNNNNNNNNNNNNNNNNNNNNNNNNNNNNNNNNNNNNNNNNNNNNNNNNNNNNNNNNNNNNNNNNNNNNNNNNNNNNNNNNNNNNNNNNNNNNNNNNNNNNNNNNNNNNNNNNNNNNNNNNNNNNNNNNNNNNNNNNNNNNNNNNNNNNNNNNNNNNNNNNNNNNNNNNNNNNNNNNNNNNNNNNNNNNNNNNNNNNNNNNNNNNNNNNNNNNNNNNNNNNNNNNNNNNNNNNNNNNNNNNNNNNNNNNNNNNNNNNNNNNNNNNNNNNNNNNNNNNNNNNNNNNNNNNNNNNNNNNNNNNNNNNNNNNNNNNNNNNNNNNNNNNNNNNNCGCUGCAGAGAGGACUGCUGCAUCCUCCGCUCCUUGAGGCGCAAGUAGUUGAUGGCGCGGGCGAACGUCGGCUCGGUGAGAAGGUUGAGAUUAGAAGCAGCGUUGGCGUAGUCUGAACCGAGCCCACGGAUCAGGUUCGUGAGCAUGGUGGCGUCAGAGACCGGGGCGCCCACGUCGCGGAGCUCGUCGGCGAGCACCUUGAGGCGGAGGCAGUAGUCGAAGAGCCCCAUGCCUUCCUGGGAGAGGCUGUAGAACUCGGUCGUGAGAAGCACAUGACGCUGGAGCUGAUUGUCGAGGAAGAGCUGGCAGAUGGAGGUCCAAAUGCCGAGGGCCGAGUCAUCGUCGCGGAUGACGUGCGAGAGGAUCUCGUUGCUGACGGUGCGAUAGAGCCACUUGAUGGUAGUGGCGUCAACCCUCAUCCAGUUGGCAUCGUCGCGCAUGGCGCGGGCGUCAACCGAUCUGUCGACAUGAUCCCGAAUUUGGAAUUCGCGGAAGGUCAACGAGACGUAGGUGCGCGAGGUGGAGAAGGAGGGUGUGUGGAUAUCCAGGACGACGGGGACGUGAUCCUGGAUGUGGAUGAGCCGAAGGCUGGCGGCAGAGGCAGGCUCGAGAACGGCAAAGGGGUUGACCUCGCCGGCGAGGGAGGAGCGAGGGGAGGCCAUCGCGGCGGUGGGUAGCGGAAGCGAGGAGAGGAUCAGAAGAAAACUAAUACCAUGUAAGAUUUGAGAGAGAGAGGUUUUGGAUCUGCACACUUUAUUCAAUCUAAACCAUGAGUAUUUAUACAGGUAGAUGAUCAGUGUCUAACAGAAAACCCUAAGGAGCUAGUUAGCGGCAGUGACCGUGCGAGGUGGGUUAGCAUUGGGUUAUCGAUUCCCAAGCAUGCGGACGUGCAUGCGUGUUGGGUCAUCGCCAUGCAUGGGCUUGCUUGAGGACCAAGUCGGGCCGACGACAUGGGCUAUAGUGAGGCCUGUUUCAACACCAGGCACGACCCGAUUAUUAAACGGGUCGGCAUGUUGGCCCGAUUAGCACGCUNCACGUGCCCAGCCUCCAGGCCCAGGCACGGUCCGAGGCGUGCUUCGUGUCGAGCCCGAGCACGAUUAGCCCGUGCCGGGCCGGGCCGGGCCCGUGUCGUGCCAGACACGCGGGCUGUCGGGCAAGCCCAUUUACCCGGCCCCCAUUUGGCGAGAUCUGGUUCCAGCAGACACUGUAACAAAAUCGAUGCACGUGUGGUAGUGGUGGAAAGGCACGUGGAGAAGGCGUUGAAUUUAUAAUGUGCGCCGAGCACCAUGCGCCAAAUCUAACACGUGUCGGGCCGCCUUUUCCCGUGCUUAAACUUUUCCCGCGCGUCAGAAUCUUUCGCGUGCGCUGGAGUGCACGCUAAAAUUCAAUUUUCCCUUGUGCCCACGUUUUUUAAGUCACUGUUGGAGAUGCUCUCGGGGGAACCAACUUGAGGGAGCGUGGUAUUCUUAGUCGGCCAGGUUUAAAUCUUGUGCUCGUAUUAUUUUUGAAAUUAUUUUAGGAUUUUCAGCAAUGCGCAUUUAGUGAAAAGAAUCAUUUUUGUCGACGACGAGGCGCCUAGAGUGAUUUAGUAAAUCUUAAGAUGAUAUGGUGGCUCAGUCUCUCGAAUGUGAUCAUAAGGAUAGGGUGUACGUAUAUGAGUUCAUAGGGAUGAUUAUAUACACGUGUAUAUGAGCGCUUACGUAUGUACUGUGUUAGAAAAAUACCGUCGCAUAGAAGAACACGGUUUUUUAUUUUAGAGGAAUGACCAUGUGUCUAUUAAACAAACAAUUACAAUGAAUACAUACAUAUAUACACNAUAUAUAUAUGGGGGGGGGGUCUCUUCAUGACUCAAGUGAAUGACAAGGACAAGGUUGAGAUGCCAUCUUUAUAUCAAAAUUUGUAUCAAUCAUUUCAUGACUCAAAUGGUCUGCUACAAUAAUUUCAAAGGUAUGGCACCCUCAAUCCAUCUCCCAAUAUCGUUCAAUUGCUCUUGGCACGGUGAUGUAUAAGAUUGUUGUUAAGGUAGUAGCUAAUCGUAUGAGGGGCAAUAUGAAGGUGAUCAUUAGUGAAGAGCAAAGUAUUUUUGUGCCUCGGUAUUUAAUUAAUGACAACAUUGUAUUUGCAUAUGAAAGUGUGGACACUAGGAGGCGACAAAAGAAGGGCAAGAGUUUCUCAUGCAUUGUUAAAUUGGUGAUGAAAGCCUACAACUGAAUUGAGUGGCAUUACUUGGAAGCCAUCUUGAUGAAGUUGGGUUUUAGCAUCGAUUUCGUAAGACUUAUUACGAAAUAUGUUUCGUCGGUCAGAUUCUCGGUAAGGGUGAAUCAAGAUCUUCUACCAUACUUCACUCCUACAGGGGGAUUGCGACAUGGCGUCCCAAUGUCAUUAUACCUAUUUCUGCUAUGUGUGGAAAGUUUUUCCUCGCUACUCAAAUACUAUGAUGGUGGCUAUGUGGACAAGGGGACCAGAGUCAAUUAUAGAUCACCGCGGGUGAGCCAUUUAUUAUUUGUCGAUGAUAGCCUCAUCUUCCUCAAUGCAACAAGGUUGAACUCCAUUAUUGAGAUAUGUGGAAGUGCUUCAGGGCAGAGUGUGAAUAUAGAUAAGCGGGCCAUCUAUUUUAGUCCUAACACACCGGAUCCGGUUCGACAAUUGCUGAAAACAUCCUUGGAUAUUCAUGUCGAGGCUUUCAUUGUAAAGUAUCUUGGUCUUCCAACAGCUGUGGGGCGCAUUACAAUUGAACUUUUGUACACAUGGAGAUAGGGCUCGAGGGAAGAUGCAAGAGUAGUUGGAAAAGUUAAUAGCUUGCGCCGGGAGAGAUGCAGUAUUGAAGUUCGUUGUUCAAGCGCUCCCGUUGUACAGUAUGACCACUUUUAUCUUGAACAAGAAAGUCUAUAAGAGCAUCACUUCACCAAUGGCAGAGAAAUUAUGGAGUAUCUCUUUGGACAAGAAAUCUAUGCAUUGGGUUUCAUGGUAUAAACUUGCGACUCCAAAGCGCAAAGAGGGCAUGGGAUAUUGAGACAUGCACCCCUUUAAUUUGGCUUUGCUAGGGAAGCAUGGUUGGCAUUUAUGACCUAGCCUAUAUUCCUAUAUGCAAGGGUUUUGAAGGGUCGCUACUUCCCGCACAUUGAUUUCAUGAAUGUUGUUCUUCCUCGCUCGGUAUCAGCUACAUGGCAUGCUACAAUUGCAGGAAUGGAAUCACUAAAGUUUGUUAUGAUAAAGCGAGCUGGUGAUGGAUCACCAAUUUCGUUUUGGGAUGAUAAAUGGACCGCGGGAAGUAUUUCCAUGACACCGAUGCUGAAACCGGAGAACGGGUGAUUGAAAAGGUCCCUGAGUUGAUUGAUUAGGACAAAUGUACAAGGAAUCAACAUGUGGUCAUAGAUACUUUUAUCCCGUCUCAUGCAGAUGCCAUUCUAAACGUUCCAAUUCGGCAAGGUGGAUGCAAUGAUUUUCUUGCUUGCGCAUUUGAAAAGCCAGGAAACUACAGUGUUAAAUCAGCGUACCAUAUCUCAUGACUUAAAAAGAGUGUUUGACUCUGGAAAAAGGAACGGCUACCGAGACCUCAAAGAGUGGUCAACAAUUAUGGAGUGCACUUCAGAAGUUGAAUGUUUUGCCAAGGGUUAGGGUGUUCUAGUGGAGGGUCUUGCAUGGAAUCAUGCUGGAUAUGCUUUAGGAGGGGCGCACAUUCCUGAUCUUCCCCAUGCCUGUCAGGCGAGCGAGGGCUGGGUGCGGUGCAUGUGCUCGGGUUAGCCCCAAUAGAGCAGAAAAAUCCAAGCGAUUGAGCUCUAGCUCACGGGCCUGCUCUCGUGUACAUCACCUCACCAGGUCCUUGAUGCUCUUGUCUCCUCGCGUAACAUCCAAAGGCAACCCCACGAGCGCCCUCGCUGCACUACUCUUGGCAAUUUCCCUGGUGCAAGAUAUCGAAGGCCUCAUGAGCCCCUGAUACGUCCAUUUUGCAUCAUGCUUUCAUGUUGAUAUUUAUCGCUUCUUGGGGUGUUAUUUCAUUUCACGGUACAAUACUUAUGCCUUUUCUCUCUUAUUUUGCAAGGUUUACAUGAAGAGGGAGAAUGCCGGCAACUGGAAUUCUGGCCUGAAAAAGGAGCAAGUUUGAGAUGCCUAUUCUGCGCAACUCCAAAAGCCAUGAAAAUCAACGUGGAUUUUUUUGGGAAUUUAUAAAAAAUACUGGGAUGAAGAAGUGCCAGAGGAGCGCAACCAGGGGGCCACAAGCCUCGUAGGCGCGACCACCCCCCUGGCCGCGCCUAGGGGGCUUGUGGGCUCCCUACUGGCCCACUGGCUCCCCUCUUCUGCUAUAUGAAGGGUUUCGUUCCGAAAAAAAAUCAAGAGGAGGCUUUUCGGAGGAUUCGCCGCCGCCACGAGGCGGAAGUUGAGCAGAACCAAUCUAGAGCUCCGGCAGGACGAUCCUGCCGGGGAAACUUCCCUCCUGGAGGGGGAAAUCGUCGCCAUCGUCAUCACGAACACUCCUCUCAUCGGAAGGGACUCAUCACCAUCAACAUCUUCAUUAGCACCAUCUCAUCUCCGAACCUUAGUUCAUCACUUGUAACCAAUCUCCGUCUCCCGACUCCGAUUGGUACUUGUAAGGUUGUUAGUAGUGUUAAUUACUAUUUGUAGUUGAUGCUAGUUGGAUUAUUUGGUGAAAGAGUUUAUGUUCAGAUCCUUGAUGCUACUCAUUACCUCUCUGGUCAUGAAUAUGAUUAUGCUUUGUGAGUAGUUACUUUUGUUCCUGAGGACAUGGGAUAAGUCAUGCUAAUAGUAGUCAUGUGAAUUUGGUAUUCGUUCGAUAUUUUGAUGUGUUGUAUGUUGUUUUUACUCUAGUGGUGUUAUGUGAACGUCGACUACAUAAAAUUUCACCACUAUUUGGGCUAUAGGAAGGAAUUGGGAAGUAGUAAGUAGAUGAUGGGUUGCUAGAUUGACAGAAGCUUAAACCCUAGUUUAUGCGUUGCUUCGUAAGGGGCGGAUUUGGAUCCACUAGUUUAAUGCUAUGGUUAGACUUUGUCUUAAUUCUUCUUUCGUAGUUGCGGAUGCUUGCGAGAGGGGUUAAUCAUAAGUGGGAUGCUUGUCCAAGUAAGGGCAGUACCCAAAUGCCGGUCCACCCACAUAUCAAACUAUCAAAGUAACGAAAGCGAAUCAUAUGAACAUGAUGAAAACUAGCAUGACAGAAAUUCCCGUGUGUCCUCGGGAGCGUUUUUCCUCCUAUAAGACUUUGUCCAGGCUUGUCCCUUGCUACAAAAGGGAUUGUGCCACUUUGCUGCACCAUUGCUACUUUUGUUACUUGUUGCUUGUUGCGAAUCAUCUCACCACACAACCACUUGUUACCGAUAAUUUCAGUGCCUGCAGAUAUUACCUUGCUGAAAACCACUUGUCAGAUCCUUCUGCUCCUCAUUGGGUUCGACACUCUUACUUGUAGAAAGGACUACGAUAGAUCCCCUAUACUUGUGGGUCAUCAGCCCCCCAUCACGAGGCCUCGCAAGCUGCUCCCUAUGGAGGACUCACUCCAAGCUGCACACCUCAAAGGAGCUAAGUCUAAAACACCCCUCGGGUUUUAUACCUCUCAUUCACCUCUCAAGGCAUCUUGAUUUCCUUGGCACGAGACGCCUACACGUCAAGGGGGACCCUGAGCAUCGUGCCUUAGGGACUCCUACCAUCCCUAAGAUCCCUACACCAUGUGGCCUUGUUGAGCGCAUGCUCUACACAUACCAGCAACGGUUGUAGCCCGUCCCGGGGGCUGGGUCCAAGCGACACAAGGCACAAAGGCAACCUAAAAGGGAAAUAAAGGCCUCGAGAGGAAAACAAAAACACAUAAAACAUCAACUACUUAAGACAAAAGUGCCAUAAGAAUGUUUUCACACACCCACGAGGCUGCAUAUACUUUAUUACAGCAAUGCGCCAAGGGGAGUCUAGGCGGACGAGGCACCACUGUCGUUACUCUCGCCAUCAUUGUGAGGGGUCUCUCUACCACAACCGAUGUGAUCCCUCGCAACCUCUCGUCUGAAACCAAAGUGACUAUCGAGGCAGAGAAGGUUGUCGAAAAGUCGCAUCGUCGCCAGGGUCAACAAGUCACGACACGCCUCCUCGACGAUGGCGUCCACAUCAAGCAGUUGCUUCUUGAGGUCGUCGACCUCGGCCUAGAGCUUGCCCCGCUGGCCCGUGAGGCCCUUCUGUUCAUCGAGAGUAGCCUGGGCGGAAACCAACUUGCACUCCUUCGCCAAUAGGCGCUCCCGCUCUGCCUCCCACGCAGACGGGAAAGACGAUAACUCGCGCUCCCGGGUCUCGAUGUUCGCCUCGCGGGAGGCGACCGCCCUGGGGCGCCUCAAGACCUCCUCCUCAUGUUUUGUGAGCUCGACUUAGCAGGGCGUGGGACAGCUCUCGGAGGCCUCCAUAGCCUCCUCCCGCAUUUUGAGCGGACGCUCGCAUAAAGCAGGUGGUUCCUAGAGCAUCUUCUCGUCGGCAUGAGGCCCCCUCCCGUUGUCGCUUGGCCUCCUGGCAUUAUCGAGGGCCUUCAUGAGGGACACAUGGGCAUCUUUGGCGAGCUAAUCGUGAUAUGCUUGCGCCUCCUCACCCUGCUGACGGUCUAGCUUCAUCGCCUUCUCAAGCCGGCUCUUCCCCUUCUCCAAGCGUCGCCGCUCCUCCGCGUAGAGCUUUGCCUCUGUGCGCCCCUGGGAGAGUGCCUCCCGAUCCUCGACAGCCUCGCCCUCACCCUCAAGCCGAAGCUCGCCCUCCUCCUUGCCUCCCACCAGUUUUUUCUCCAGGCACGUCGGGGCGACGGGCGAGACGACCGACUCCUUGCUGAUUGCGUUGGGUUCCCUCCAGGCUCAAAUGGUGAUGUAGCACAUCGAAGACAAGUAUUUCCCUCAGUUAUGAAACAAAGGUAUCAAUCUAGUAGGAAGAUCCACAAGACUAUGUAAGCGACACAUGCACACAAAUAGCAAAUCCUUGCAAGCCAACGCGUGGAGAGGUCAUCAAUCCCUCGUGGGUAAAGUAAGGAUAGAUUGAUAUAUGCAAAUAAGAAUGAUAGCAAAUAAAAUGCAGCAUGGUAUUUUUGUUUUUUUAUAAUAUAGAUCUGAAAAUAAAAGAGAAAACAAAAUAGAAACAUGAAUAGCAAAUUAGAGGUUGCAAAUAGAUGAUGUGAAGUAGAUCCGAUGGCCGUAGGUUUCACUAGUGGCUUCUCUUGAGAAAAUAGCAAACGGUGGGUAGACAAAUUAUUGUUGGGCAAUUGAUAGAAGAGCAGAAAAUUAAGACGAUAUUCAAGACAAUGAUCAUGUGUAUGUUGGAAAUAUGCCCUAGAGGCAAUAAUAAAAUAGUUAUUAUUAUAUUUCCUGUUUCAAGAUAAUCGUUUAUUAUCCAUGCUAUAAUUGUAUUGAAUGAAAGCAUAGAUACAUGUGUGGAUAUAUAGACAAAACAAUGUCCCUAGUAAGCCUCUAGUUGGCUAGCCAGUUGAUCAAGCAUGGUUAAGGUUUUUUGACCAUAUGCAAGUGUUGUCACUUGAUGACCGGAUCACAUCAUUAGGAGAAUGAUGUGAUGGACAAGACCCAAACUUUGAACGUAGCAUGUGAUCGUGUCAUUUUGUUGCUAUUGUUUUCUGCGUGUCAAGUAUUCAUUCCUAUGACCAUGAGAUCAUGUAACUCACUGACACCAGAGGGAUACCUUGUGUGUAUCAAACGUCGCAACGUUACUGGGUGACUAUAAAGGUGCUCUAUAGGUAUCUCCGAAGGUGUCCGUUGAGUUAGCAUGGAUCAAGACUGGGAUCUGUCACUCCGUGUGACGGAGAGGUAUCUCGGGGCCCACUCGGUGAUACAACAUCACAUAUAAGCCUUGCAAGCAAUGUGACUCAAGUGUUAGUCACGGGAUCUUGUAUUACUGAACGAGUAAAGAGACUUGCCGGUAACGAGAUUGAAAUAGGUAUAGGGAUACCGACGAUCAAAUCUCGGGCAAGUAACAUAGCGAAGGACAAAGGUAAUGGUAUACGCUAUUAUAUGAAUCCUUGGCACAGAGGUUCAACCGAUAAGAUCUUCAUAGAAUACGUAGGAUCCAAUAUGGGCAUCCAGGUCCCGCUAUUGGAUAUUGAACGGGGAGUGUCUCAGGUCAUGUCUGCAUAGUUCUCGAACCCGCAGGGUCUGCACACUUAAGGUUCGGUGACGUUUCGGUAUAGUUGAGUUAUAGGUGUUGGUGAACGAAGGUUGUUCGGAGUCCCGGAUGAGAUCACGGACGUCAGGAGGGUUUCCGUAAUGGUCUGGUAACGAAGAUUGAUAUAUAGGAUGGUUUCAUUUGGUCUCUGGAAAGAUUUCGGGCAUUACCGACAGUGUACCGAGAGUGACGAAUGCAUUUCAGGUUUUCACCGGGAGGGGCCCACCCACCCGGGAGAGAGCCUAAUAGCCCAAGGGUGGCGCACCAGCCCUUAGUGGGCUGGUGAGGCCAGCCCAAGUGGGCUAUGGCGGCUAAGGAGAAAAAACCAAAGAGAAAGAAAAAAAGGGGAGGUGGGAAGGAAGAGGAGGAAUCCUCCUUCCCCAAACCGAAUCGGAGUUGGAGUCCUCCUCUCCUCUCUCGGUCGGCGCCCUAGGGGCUCCCUUGAGCCCCAAGGCUAGCCCCUCCCCUCCUCCUAUAUAUACUAGAGGUUUUAGGGUUUUUGAGACACAACUUUGCCACGUGCAACUCAAACCUCUACUUCAUAGUUCUUCCUCUAGAUCGGUUUUCUGCGUAGCUCAGGUGGAGCCCUGCAGGAAUAGAUCAUCACCAUCACCGGCGCACCAUCACGCUGCCGAAGAACUCAUCUACUUACCCGUCUAUCUUGUUGGAUCAAGAAGGCGGAGAUCGUCAUCGAGCUGUACGUGUGCUGAACGCGGAGGUGCCGUCCGUUCGGCGCUAGAUCGGAACGGAUCGUGGGACGACGGUGAUAUGAAUCACGAAGCUGUACCACUACAUCAACCGCGUUUCUUAACGCUUCCCGCUUAGCGAUCUACAAGGGUAUGUGGAUCCGAUCUCCCUCUCGUAGAUGAACAUCAUCAUGAUAGGUCUUCGUGUGCGUAGGGAUUUUUUUGUUUCCCAUGCAACGUUCCCCAACAGUGGCAUCAUGAGCUAGGUUCAUGCGUAGAUGUAAUUUCGAGUAGAACACAAAAAUUUUUGUGGGCGUUGAUGUUCAAUUUGCUGCCCUCCUUAGUCUUUUCUCGAUUCGACGGUAUUGUUGGAUUGAAGCGGCCCGGACCAACAUUACUCGUACGCUUACGAGAGACCGGUUUCAUCGACUAACAUGCAACUUGUUGCAUAAAGAUGACUGGCGGGUGCCUGUUUCUUCAACUUUAGUUGAAUUGGAUUUGACCGAGGCGGUCCUUGGAUAGAGGUUAAAUAGAAAUUUGCAUAUCUCCGUUGUGGUUUUUGCGUAAGUAAGAUGCGAUCAUACUAGAUACCAGUAGCAUCCACGUAAAACAUGCAACAACAAAUUAGAGGACGUCUAACUUGUUUUUGUAGGGUAUGCUUGUGAUGUGAUAUGGCCAAAGACAUGAUGUGAUAUAUUGGAUGUAUGAGAUGAUCAUGUUGUAAUAGUUAAUAUCGACUUACACGUCGAUGCUACGGCAACCGACAGGAGCCAUAGGGUUGUCUUCAAACUAACGUUUGUGUUUGCAGAUGCAUUUACUAUAUUGCUAGGUUGUAGCUUUAGUCGUAAUAGCAUAGAUAGCACGACAACCGCGAUGGCGGCACGAUGAUGGAGAUCAUGGUGUGGCGCCGGUGACGAUGAAGAUCAUGCCGAUGCUUUGGUGAUGGAGAUCAAGAAGCACAAGAUCAUGGCCAUAUCAUGUCACUUAUGAACUGCAUGUGAUGUUAAUCCUUUUAUGCACCUUAUCUUGCUUAGAAUGACGGUAGCAUUAUAAGGUGAUCCCUCACUAAAUUUCAAGAUAAAAUUGUGUUCUCCCCGACUGUGCACCGUUGCGACAGUUCAUUGUUUUGAGACACCACGUGAUGAUCGGGUGUGAUAGACUCAACGUUCACAUACAACGGGUGCAAAACAGUUGCACACGUAGAACACUCGGGUCAAACUUGACGAGCCUAGCAUGUGCAGACAUGGCGGGGGGGGGGGGGGGGCAAGAGACCGAAAUGUCGAGCAUGAAUCGUAUAGUUGAUAUGAUUAGCACAGAUAUGUUUACCACUGAAACUACACUCAACUCACGUGAUGAUCGGACUUGAGUUAGUGAAUUUGGAUCAUGCCACACUCAAGUAACUAGAGGGAUCUCUAUUUGAGUGGGAGUUUAUUAGUAAUUUGAUUAGUUAAACUCUAAUUGUCUUGAACAUAGUCUAAGUCCACUUUGCAAUAUUUUAUGUUGUAGAUCAAUGGCUCACGCAGUAGCAACCCUGAAUUUCAAUACGUUCCUGGAGAAAGCUAAGCUGAAAGAUGAUGGUAGCAACUUUGUAGACUGGGCUCGUAAUCUUAGGAUCAUCCUACAAGCUGGGAAAAAGAAUUAUGUCCUUGAUGCUGCACUAGGAGAUGAACCACCCACUACGUCUGAUCAAGAUGUUUUGAACGCUUGGCAAUCACAUAAGGAGGACUACUCAGUAGUUCAAUGUGCAGUCUUGUAUGGCUUGGAACCGGGACUUCAACGAUGCUUUAAACGUCAUGGAGCAUAUGAGAUGUUCCAGGAGUUGAAGUUUAUCUUUCAGAAGAACGCCCGGAUCGAGAGGUAUGGGACCUCCGAUAAAUUCUAUGCUUGCAAAAUGGAGGAGAAUUCGUCUGUUAGUGAACAUGUGCUCAAAAUGUCUGGGUAUUCAAAUCAUCUAGCCGAGUUGGGGAUUGAACUCCCGCAAGAGGCUAUCAUUGACAGAAUUGUUCAAUCACUGCCACCUAGCUAUAAGAGCUUUGUGUUGAACUAUAAUAUGCAAGGGAUGAACAAGUCACCCCGCGAGUUAUUCACGAUGCUGAAAGUCGCAGAGUCAGAACUCCGGAAAGAACAUCAAGUGUCGAUGGUCAAUAAGACCACUGGUUUCAAGAGAAACAACAAAGGCAAGAAGGGUAACUCCAAGAAGAGCGGCAAAACAGUUGCCAAUCCGACGAAGAAACCCAAGGCUGGACCUAAGCCGGAAACAUGGUUCUAUUAUUGCAAGGGGAUGGGUCACUGGAAGCGCAACUGCCCCAAGUAUUUGGCUGAUAAGAAGUCGGCCAACGCCAAACCAGGUAUAUGUGAUAUACAUGUUAUUGAUGUGUACUUAACCAACUCUCGUAGUAGUGCCUGGGUAUUUGAUACCGGUUCUGUUGCUCAUAUUUGCAACUCAAAGCAGGAACUGCGGAAUAAACGAAGGUUGGCGAAGGAUGAAGUGACGAUGCGCGUGGGAAAUGGUUCCAAGGUUGAUGCAAUCGCCGUCGGCACAGUCUCACUUCAGUUACCAUCAAGAUUAGUUAUGAACUUAAAUAAUUGUUAUUUAGUGCCUGCGUUAAGGAUGAACAUUAUAUCUGGAUCUUUUUUAUUACGAGACGGAUACUCAUUUAAGUCAGAGAAUAAUGGUUGUUCUAUUUUUAUGAGUAAUAUCUUUUAUGGUCAUGCACCCAAUGUGAGGGGUUUGUUCAUAUUGAAUGUUGAUUGUGAGUUAACAAUGAUAGCGCCACCUUUUUGUGGCACUUCUGCUUAGGUCAUAUUGGUGUAAAGCGCAUGAAGAAACUCCAUGCUGAUGGGCUUUUGGAGUCACUUUAUUUUGAAUCACUUGACAUGUGCGAACCAUGCCUCAUGGGAAAGAUGACUAAGACCCCGUUCUCUGGAACAAUGGAACAUGCAAGUGACUUGUUGGAGAUCAUACAUAAUGAUGUGUGCGGUCCAAUGAGUGUGGAGGCGCGUGGCGGAUAUCGUUAUUUUCUCACCUUCACUGAUGAUUUGAGUAGGUAUGGAUAUAUCUACUUGAUGAAGCACAAGUCUGAAAUGUUUGAAAAGUUCAAGCAAUUUCAGAGUGAAGUGAAAAUCAUCGUAACAAGAAUAUCAAGUUCCUACGAUCUGAUCGAGGGGGUGAGUAUCUGAGUUUCGAGUUCGAUGCUCACUUAAGACAAUGUGGAAUCGUUUCACUGUUGACACUUCCUAGAACACCACAGUGUAAUGGUGUGUCCGAACGUCAUAAUCGUACUUUGUUAGAUAUGGUGCGAUCUAUGAUGUCUCUUACCGAUUUGCCAUUAUCGUUUUGGGGUUAUGCAUUAGAGACAGCUGCAUUCACUUUAAAUAGGGCACCAUCAAAAUCCGUUGAGAUGACACCAUAUGAGCUAUGGCAUGGCAAGAGGCCAAAGUUGUCGUUUCUUAAAGUUUGGGGAUGCGAUGCUUAUGUCAAAAAGCUUUAGCCUGAAAAGUUGGAACCCAAAGCGGAAACGUGUUUCUUCAUAGGUUACCCAAAAGAGACAGUUGCGUACACCUUCUAUCUCAGAUCCGAGGGCAAAGUGUUUGUUGCUAAGAAUGGAUCUUUUCUUGAGAAGGAGUUUCUCUCGAAAGAAUUGAGUGGGAGGAAGAUAUAACUUGAUGAGGUUGUGGAACCUUUGCUCCCUCUAGAUGGUGGCGUAGGGCAGAGAGAAAUCUCUGUCGAGGCAACACCGGUUGAGGAAGAAGCUAAUGAUGAUGAUCAUGAAGCUUUGGAUCAAGUUACUAUCGGACCUCGCAGGUCGACAAGAUCACGUACUGCUCCUGAGUGGUACAGGAAUCAUGUCUUAUCGAUCAUGUUGUUAGACAACAAUGAACCUGUGAAUUAUGAAGAAGCAAUGGUGGGCCCGGAUUCCAACGAAUGGCUGGAGGCCAUGAAGUCCGAGAUAGGAUCUAUGUAUGAAAACAAAGUAUGGACUUUGGAAGUAUUACCUGAAGGUCAUAAGGCUAUUCAGAACAAAUGGAUCUUUAAGAAGAAGACGAACGCGGACGGUAAUGUGACCGUUUAUAAAGCUCGACUUGUGGCAAAGGGUUUUUCACAAGUUCAAGGAGUUGACUACGAUGAGACGUUCUCACUGGUAGAAAUGCUUAAGUCCGUCCGAAUCAUGUUAGCAAUAGCUGCAUUUUUCGAUUAUGAAAUCUGGCAGAUGGAUGUCAAAACGGCGUUCCUUAAUGGUUUUCUUAAGGAAGAGUUGUAUAUGAUGCAACCCGAAGGUUUUGUCGAUCCAAAGAAUGCUAACAAAGUACGCAAGCUCCAGCGAUCCAUUUAUGGACUGGUGCAAGCAUCUCGGAGUUGGAAUAAGUGCUUUGAUGAGGUGAUGAAGUGUAAGGACUAAGAUGCGGUCCUUUUCGGUUUAGGGGAACGAGGCCCCAAAGAGGAAAGAAGCGCAUCUAAGCGUUUCGCAAACACGGUAACAUAGCACAUACAUAAUAAUAGAAUGACAAUUAGGGAUUCAACUGCCAUAUCAUAAAUAAUAUUAGAGUUUACAUCACGCAUCCAAGCAAGGUAGUUCCGCUAUGGACUACAAAACAUGAGAAAUGACUAUGUUACCCUGCAUGCUUGCCCACGAUCACGACCACGCCUCAGUCUUUUGGACAGUUCACGUACAGGCGGUCGUUCUCCUCAUCGUACUGCCACGCCAGCUACGUGUCGUCGGGAUCACCUGUCUCGGGGGUACCUGAACCUAUUGGUGCGUUGAAGUAAUAUGUGAGCCACGGGGACUCAACAAUCUAUGACCUCGGUGCUAGAACUAGUCAAGUUAAUAGGUAAGGAAGGUGGAGUAUUUAGGUUGCAACAUCCUAAGCAUAUAUGGUGGCUAACUUACGUAGAGCAAGUAUUGAAGAUGGUCUAUACUAGCAAUCGAUGAUUAGCUGAUCACUAAGUGAUCCUGAACACCUACUUAUGUCAAUCAUAACCCCACCGUGUUCCCGAUCGAAGAGAAGUCUUCGAAGGGGACAAUCACGGUUACACAAACAGUUGGCAAUUUUAUUAGCUUAUGUUUAAGUUAUCUAUAAGCGGAUGUUAACAAAUAUUCCAAGUUGCCACAUAACCGCGGGCACGACUUUCCGAAAUAUUAAACCCUGCAGGCGUGCUCCAACUAGUCCAUCACAAAUGGUCACGGGCCGCAAAGUAAUCCUCUAUCACGAAUCUCGUGAUCUCGUCGGAUUCCUUAGAGGAAAACCUCAACUCUGGGGAGAACCAAAGCUUCACCGGGAUUCCUAUACACAAGAUAUAUCGCUAAGGUAAGACAAGAUUAGCAGGACCUCCCGUCGUGUCGACGACCCCGAUAAGAGCCGCGUAUCUCAGUCUCAGGACACGACGGAUGAGCUACGCGCACGAUGGCCUGAUAGAAAUCACUCAAGUUGCCCUGAGUUGGCCCCGAACAGUGCUCAUUUUGGACCAACACUCAUGAGGAGCACUGGCCCGGGUUGUUGAUUAACUCCUCGGGGUGAUCAUUCCCUAUGCAGAUUAUUAUUAAGUGAUUAGCAAAUUAACACCAAUGUUGGGUCCCUCCGGACAAGUCUUAACACUACACGAUUUAUCAAGGGGGUCCCCAUAACAACCCCGAACGUGUUAGGAGCGAACAGUUAUGGAAUCAAACACUCGUAGCCGGAAACUAUGGCGGCAAUAACGGAACAAAACACCCGGAAAAAGGCUAAGCCUUCCGUUAUUUACCAAGUAUAUAGGUGCAUUAAUUAAAUAAUAGAUUAACAUAAUGAUAUCAACUGAUGUUAUCACAUGAGACAAAGCACCUGCAACUAGCAACGCUGACAUUAGUAGCUGAGCAAAGCCUACUUAGCCGUUCAAGAUUUGCUAGGAGGGGAAAGUGUUUGGUUUUCAUGGCAAUAUUCAGGAGGCAAUUAUUUCAGUGGUAGGCAGCGAGCAUAUGACAAGGAAACGUGAAUCUAGCAUAACAAGUCUAGAGAUGGAAUCAAGAUCAUAUCAUCUUGCGUGUGAUGUCCUCAGCUUGGAAUUGCUCUGGUUCGUCCUGCACGUACUCUCCCGGAUCCACGUACUCAUUCUCUGAUCCCGGUGCUACCCAACAUAAAAAUAACAUCCAAUGAAUAACAACACUUCAAGAUGCAACAAGCACAUGAUGCAUGAGAUGAAAAUGAACAUGCACCUCUAUUGUACUCACUUGAACAUGCUUGAGAAGGAGAUACAAGUUCCUGGACAAAACUGCACUCUAAGCUAUCUUGUCAUGUAUGAGGAUGACAUGAACAGAAGCGUCACGCGAAAAUGAUGCAAAAACAUAUAAAGAACGUUACGUUCGGAGCUACGGAUCAACCGGAAACAAUGAAACAAGAAAUAGAGUCCUACGUGUCAAAUUCGUCACCACACACUCCAAUGGCAUACUUCUGCUAUUCCCAGGUUGCCAUAUCACAAAACAAACAAGAAUGGAUGGGGUGGUGCAAAGAAUACCACCACACCAUCAACUAUGCACUCCCAAGCAUCAAACAUCAAAACUAUACAAUCUGCCAUAAGCAACAUCAUAGCAGUUUGAGAGCUACAUGCAAAGCACCUACAGCUGCCCAAAUAUGCCAAAUAGGAUAUGUGGCAGAAGCUAUCCAAGAGUACUAGAAGCAUGAGCAAAAAUCUAAUUCGAAGGAGUUUCAUACGGAAAGUUACACAGCUGCUAACUUGGCCAAAAAUAUUAGUUUCCAGGGACUUAGUGAAAAUCUCAGAUUCUCACUAGCUGUUUAUGCUCUGAAGCAUUUUGACAGCACCCAAAACAAUAUCUACAGGAUUCCAAAUGGAAUGAAAAUUGACAGAUAGCUAUACAAAUACAAAAUCUACAACUUCCCAGUUGAUAGCUAGGGCUGAUUCCCAACACAUGGUCUUCUACAAGCACAACAACAGGAGAAGAAAAUAUAAGCAGAUUCCCAGACUUAGUGAAAAUCUGUGAUUUUCACUAAACUGGAAUUUUUAGUCACAUGCCUACUUUGACUAGGCACAACUUGCACACAUGAACUCCUAAGCAUGAAACAAAACCAACAUGUGGUAGAAGGGUUCACCCUCUACCGCCACAACAAAGAAUCAACCUCUUGGGCUCAUCACAUCACAUGGAACCAAGCUCUAAACAUGGAACAAAACUGAAAUAUGACAUUCCCAGAAAGUGUUCCAAAGGCAAAACUUACUUCACCAAUGGAUUCAUGGGAUGAUUCUACCCCAAAAACAUAUAUAAUACAUAUGCACUUGCAUAGAAUAAUUGGGCACAAGGCUAAGAAGAAGAUAAGCAUGGAUUCACAAGGUGUGAAUAGUGCAUCAUCACAUGUGCUAUUCAGUAAAACAACACCUACAUAUCCACUUGCACACUAUCAACACUACAAUGGUGCACAUGAGGGUUAUCCCUCAUGCUCAUGUGCCUUAGCAAACCACCACACACACACACAAGCAUCAAGCACAACAUAAUAUAAACACCUACACAUGCUAAUGGGAACACCCACACUAGAUUACACCACAACAUCUAUACACCUUCACAUAUAAACAUGCUCAUGUGCUCAUCAAGGCACUCCAUGCCUUGAGCAUGUGUGGGACACACACACACCAUCUCACACAACAACACAAGAGCACCUACAUAUACACAAGGUAGGUGAGGGCGGAAACCCACACACACACUCACAUCACAUACUUGCACAAGAUAGGACAUAAGNNNNNNNNNNNNNNNNNNNNNNNNNNUGCAUAUCUAUAGCCUAGUGCAACACACAACUAAACACACCCACACAUACAUGUCAUCUAGCUCACAAUGCACAUACAUACAUAUCACUACACAUGCAUAUUUACAUAGCUAGAGAAAUACUAGGAACCUGCUAGAAUAAAUCCAGCAACCAAAACUUGCCUCACAAGCAUGCUGCAGUACAAUAUAGCAAGCAAACAAAACAAACAGGGAAGAAAUGCACAAAAAAAGGACAGGGGAGGGAUCGAACCCUAGAGCCCCUGAUCACCACCUGCACCUCAUACCACUGCGCUAUGGAACAGUCACUUGACAGAUAAGGAAAGCCUAGCAGGAUAAGGUGAUACACGCUGCUCUGUUACUGUGCCGAGAGAAAAAUAGCACAAAAAGGGGGGUUUGGCGCCGCGGGGAUUCGAUCCCACAACCACCUGAUCCACAACAAACACUGCACCACUAUGCCGCGCUACUAUACUUGACAGAGAGGAGGAACUCUCCAAGGUAAGACAUCGAAGCCGGCCUGCUCUGCUACUCACAGAGACGCCGACGGCAGCAAGCCACCGGAGCAAACCUACUUGCUCUACUGCUGCUCUACGCGCGGGGAUCCAUCUACACUACAACUACUACGCUGUUGGAGGCCCCGAGCCACGACGAGCCAAGCACAACAACACAAGAACGACACACCACCUGCACCUGCCCUCGUGCUCUUCUCUGAACAGAGAGGCACGACCUCGAUCUCCUACGCGCAACUACCGAGGAAGAAAAGAGGAAGAUACUAGCUCUCACCUAGGGGAAGGAGGAGAGGUUGCCGAUCGGGGAAGAGGCCUGCCUGGAGAAGAACGAAGACGACCUGAAGCGCCUGACGAAGAACUCUGCAGAACCAAAGCAGGGAGGAACAGGCCGCCGGGAACACGCCGUUGACGUGGUCCUGCCCGUCGCUGUGGUCGCGCUUUGACCUCAACAACAACGGGAAUGGAACGCGGGGCCUACCCCCGAGCCCCCUGACAUGAUGGCCGACACCGAAGGCGGCGGAUGCACGGGAUCGACGACGGCGCACUACUGCCCUCUAUGUGUACCUGGAUCUACAGGAGCUUACCUUGGGGAAGGAGGAGAAGGAUGGAGACGGCAGCGCUAGAUGGGGGAAGCAUGGAACCCUAGGGCAAGGGGGCACGAACGCCGAGGGUUAUAAGAGGGCCUCGACGUCUGUGAGCCCUCACGGCAUGCUCGCUCCCUCUCUGCUGCGUGACGGAAAGCGACGCACGGGGAGACGCCGUCUGAAGAAGGAGAAGGAACGCGUGCCUGGGCUGCCGCGGGGGGGGGGGAGAGAAGCUAGGCCUGCUAGUGGGAGGAGGCCCACUAGUUGGCGCCAGGUAGAAGGAAAUAAACCCAUGGGGUUUAUUAAUUAAGCCAAGACCAGACAAACAAAACAAAUGCACAUGCUAAACAGAUAAAGCUAAAAUUAAAUCAAAAAUACCCCUGGUCAUAAGAAAUUAUGACCUAUUUAAAUAAAAUAGAAAAGAAAUAUUUGGAGCAAUUAAAUAUUUACAAAACAACAUUUAUAUGAUAUGUUUUGGGAAUAUUUGCACCUUUAAAAUAUAGAUUCAAAACAACCAAUUCACAUCUUCACAUCCACCACAAAGUAUACUAAAUCAUGGACAUUUUUUAAAACAAGGAUGGGACAAGUGAAGCUUGACCUUGAGAUAAAUAAAGAGGAAGAUGGUUUUGAAGCCUAUGCAAACCACAUAGUUUCCUACUAGCAAUUGCACCACUCCAUUACUCACAUACACUAUCAUCACAUGACAUAUUCAACACACCACAUACCCACAUGGAUUCACAAAGGCACAAACACAAGACAUGGGUGAAUGAUAGAUGCAUGCAAGCAAAGGAAGAACAAAACAAUGUGACAUCACAUGAAAUCAUAUGCAUUGAGCUCUCAUAUCAAUGACAAGGUGGACCCACAUAGAGAAGGUUCCAGAUAUGGCAAGAUACACUCUUGGGGCAUUACAUGAAGGCAUUUGGGUUUAUACAAGUUAUUGGAGAAUCUUGUAUUUACAAGAGAGUGAGUGGGAGCUUUGUAGAGUUUCUUAUAUUAUAUGUGGAUGACAUAUUGCUGAUUGGAAAUAAUGUGGAGUUUUUAGAGAGCGUAAAGGAUUACUUGAACAAAUGUUUUUCAAUGAAAGACCUAGGAGAAGCUGCUUACAUAUUAGGCAUUAAUAUCUAUAGGGAUAGAUCGAGGUGCCUAAUAGGACUUUGACAAAGCACAUACCUUGAUAAAGUUUUGAAGAAGUUCAAAACGGAGCAGUCCAAGAAGGGGUUCUUGCCAGUGUUACAAGGUAUAAAGUUGAGUAAGACUCAGUGUCCGGUAACCGCGGAAGAUAGAGAAAAGAUGAGUAGCGUCCCCUAUGCUUCAACCAUCGGGUCUAUCUUGUAUGCAAUGUUAUGCACAAGACCGGACGUCAGCCUGGACAUAAGUAUGGCACGCAGGUUUCAAAGUAAUCCAGGAGUGGAUCACUGGACGACGGUCAAGAAUAUUCUGAAAUACCUGAAAAGGACUAAGGAAAUUUUUCUCGUUUAUGGAGGUGACGAAGAACUCGUCGUAAAGGGUUACGUCGAUGCAAGCUUUCACAUUGAUCCGGAUGACUCUAAGUCUCAAUCCGGAUACAUAUUUGUUCUUAAUGAGGGUGCGGUAAGCUGGUGCAGUUCCUAGCAAAGCGUCGUAGCAGAUUCUACAUGUCAAGUGGAGUACAUGGCUUCCUCGAAGGCAGCUAAGGAGGGUGUCUCGAUGAAGCAAUUCAUGACGGAUUUUGGAGUUGUGUCGAGUGCACUAAAUCCAAUAACUCUGUUCUGUGACAACACUGGUGCCAUUGCUCUAGCCAAGGAACCAAGGUUUCACAAGAAGACCACACACAUCAAAGGACGCUUGAUACGUCUCCAACGUAUCUAUAAUUUUUGAUGGUUCCAUGCUAUUAUAUUGUCUUCUUUGGAUGUUUUGCAUGCCUUUUAUAUAUUUUUUGGGACUAACUUAUUAACUCAGUGCCAAGUGGUAGUUCCUGUUUUUUCCAUGUUUUUGACCCUUUUUCAGACGGAGUCCAAAUGGAAUGAAACUUUACGAUGAUUUUUUUGGACCAAAAGAUACCCCCAAAGCUUUGGAAGAAGGCCAGAAGAGCCACGAGGGAGUCACAAGCCCAUGUUAUGCGGCCUACCCCCCUGGUCGCACCGUGCAGGCUUCUGACCUCCUUGUGGGCCCAACUGACUCAAUUCCACCGCCAUAAAUUCCUAUAAAUUCAGAAACCCCCAGAAAGAAACCUAGAUCGGGAGUUCCGCCGCCGCAAGCCUCUGUAGCCACCAAAAACCAAUCUGGAGCCCGUUCCGGCACCCUGCCGAAGGGGGAAUCCAUCUCCAGUGGCCAUCUUCAUCAUCCCGGCGAUCUCCAUGACGAGGAGGGAGUAGUUCUCCCUCGGGGCUGAGGGUAUGUACCAGUAGCUAUGUGUUUGAUCUCUCUCUCUCUCGUGUUCUUGAGAUGUCUUGAUCUCGAUGUACCGUGGGCUUUGCUACUAUAGUUGGAUCUUACGAUGUUCUUCCCCCUCUCCCUUCUUGUAAUGAAUCGAGUUUCCCCUUUGGAGUUAUCUUAUCGGUUUGAGUCUUUGAGAGCACUUGAUGUAUGUCUUGAACCUGUCUAUCUACUUUGAUCAACCUGCGGGUUUGUGACAAUUGGGAACCUAUGCAUAUGGUUGGCACACGUGGAUUCAUGUGAGUACUCGAUGUAUGUUUUGGUGAUCAACUUGUGGGUUCGUGACAUUGGGAACCUAUGCAUAGGGGUUGGCACACGUUUUGACUCUCCGGUAGAAACUUUGGGGCACUCUUUGAAGUUCUAUGUGUUGCUUGAAUAGAUGAUUCUGAGAUUGUGUGAUGCAUAUCGUAUAAUCAUGCACACGGAUACUUGAGGUGACAAUGGAGUAUUGAUACGUCCAUUUUGCAUCAUGCUUUCAUGUUGAUAUUUAUUGCUUUUUGGGCUGUUAUAUUACUUGUGGUACCAUAUUUAUGCCUUUUCUCUCUUAUUUUGCAAGGUUUAUUUGAAGAGGGAGAAUUCAGGCAGCUGGAAUUCUGGACUGGAAAAGGAGCAAAUCCUAGUCCACUAUUCUGCACAUCUCCAAAUGCCCUAAAAAGUUACGUGGAUUUUUUUGGGAUUAUAUAAAAAAUAUGGGGCGAAAGAACUACGGGAGGGGGGCUACCAGGGCGCCACAAGCCCUGACACCGCCACCCCCUGGUGGCGGAGUGGGGGCUUGCGGGUUCCCUGACGGCCCACUAGCCCCCCUCUUUUGCUAUAUGAAGCGUCCUGGUCCAGAAAAAAAUCAAUUAGGAGCUUUUUCGUGGUUUCGCCGCCGCCAUGAGGCGGAACUUGAGAAGAUCCAAUCUAGAGCUCCGGCAGGACGAUCCUGCCUGGGAAACUUCCCUCCCGGAGGGGGAAAUCGUCGCCAUUGUCAUCACCAACACUCCUCUAAUCGGAGGGGAUGCAUCUUCAUCAACAUCUUCAUCAGCACCAUCUCCUCUCCAAUCCCUAGUUCAUCUCUUGUAACCAAUCUUCGUCUCGCUACUCCGAUUGGUACUUGUAAGGUUUCUAGUAGUGUUGAUUACUCUUUGUAGUUGAUGCUAGUUGGAUUACUUGGUGGAAGAGUUUAUGUUCAGAUCCUUGAUGCUAUUCAUUACACCUCUGAUCAUGAUUAUGAUUAUGUUUUGUGAGUAGUUACUUUUGUUCCUGAGGACAUGGGAUAAGUCAUGUUAAUAAUAGUCAUGUGAAUUUGAUAUUCGUUCGGUAUUUUGAUAUGUUGUAUGUUGUCUUUUCCUCUAGUGGUGUUAUGUGAACGUCGAUUACAUAACACUUCACACCAUAUUUGGGCCUAGAGGAAAGCAUUAGGAAGUAGUAAGUAGAUGAUGGGUUGCUGGAGUGACAGAAGCUUAAACCCCAGUCUAUGCGUUGCUUCGUGAGGGGCUGAUUUGGAUCCACUAGUUUAAUGCUAUGGUUAGACUUUGUAUUAAUUAUUUUUUUGGAGUUGCAGAUGCUUGCGAGAGAGGUUAAUCAUAAGUGGGAUGCUUGUCCAAGUAAGGGCAGUACCCAAGCGCCGGUCCACCCACAUAUCAAACUAUCAAAGUAACGAACGCGAAUCAUAUGAACAUGAUGAAACUAGCAUGACAGAAAUUCCCGUGUGUCCUCGGGAGUCUUUUUCCUCCUAUAAGACUUUGUUCAGGCUUGUCCCUUGCUACAAAAGGGAUUGGGCCACUUGCUGCACCUUUGCUACUACUUGUUACUUGUUACUUUUUGCUCGCUACAUUUGACCUCACUACACCAUCACUUGUUACCGCUACUUUCAGUGCUUGCAAUUAUUACCUUGCUGAAAUCCGCUUAUCAGAGCCUUCUGCUCCUCGUUGGGUUCGACACUCUUACUUAUCGAAAGGACUACGAUUGAUCCCCUAUACUUGUGGGUCAUCGAGACUCUUUUCUGGCGCCGUUGCCGGGGAGUGAAGUGCCUUUGGUAAGUGGAAAUUGGUAAGGAAACAUUUUUAUAUUGUGCUGAAAUUUAUUGUCACUUGUCACUAUGGAAACUGUUCCUUUGAGGAGUUUGUUCGUGGUAUAUUCACCACGAACGGAAGCACGAGGAGUUUCUCCUCAACCUGAGGUACCUACUGAAAAUAUCUUUUAUGAAAUUCCUUCGGGUAUGCUUGAGAAACUGCUGGCUAAUCCUUUCACAGGAGAUGGAUCUUCACAUCCAGACUUGCAUCUGAUCUUUGUAGAUGAAGUUUGUGGUUUAUUUAAGCUUGCAGGUUUGCCCGAGGAUGUGGUAAAGAAGAAAGUCUUUCCUUUAUCUUUGAAGGAUAAGGCAUUGACAUGGUAUAUGCUAUGUGAUGAUACUGGAUCAUGGGGCUACAAUCGGUUGAAAUUGGAAUUUCAUCAAAAGUUCUAUCCUAUGCAUUUAGUACAUCGUGAUCGGAACUUUAUUUAUAACUUUUGGCCUCGUGACAGGGAAAGCAUAGCUCAAGCUUGGGGGAGGCUUAAAUCAAUGCUAUAUUCAUGCCCCAAUCAUGAGCUCUCGAGAGAAAUCAUCACUCAAAACUUUUAUGCUCGAUUUUCUCAUGAAGAUGUACCAUGCUUGACACUUCUUGUGCCGGUUCUUUUAUGAAGAAGGAUAUUGAUCACAAGUGGAAUUUAUUGGAGAGAAUCAAACGCAAUUCUGAAGAUUGGGAGCUGGAGGAAGGUAAGGAGUCAAGUAUGAAUUUCCAGUUUGAUUGCGUUAAAUCUUUUGUUGAGACAAACACUUCUAGAGAUUUUAGCACAAAGUAUGGACUUGAGUCUGAGAUAGUAGCUUCUCUAUGUGAAUAUUUUGCUGCUCAUGUUGAUCUUCCCAAAGAGAAGUGGUUUAAAUAUCAUCCUCCUGUAGAAAGCAACAUAGCUAAAACCAAUCUAGUUGAGGAGAAAGUCAUUGCUUUUAGUGAUCAUGUUGUUCCUUGUGCUUACACUGAGAAACCACCAUACCCUCCUAGGAUAAAGGAUUAUUCUAAAGCUCCGAUGAUACGUAGGGGUUACAUUAGACCACUUGCACCCCCUGAGGAGAUUAGAGUUGAACCUAGUGUUGCUAUUAUCAAAGAUCUCUUAGCCGAAGACAUAAAUGGGCAUGUUAUCAAAUUCUGCGAGGACUCUGCUAGAAUUGCUAAACCUCACGCGAAAGACAAACACGGACCUGUAGUUGGCCUGCCCGUUGUUUCUGUUAAGAUAGGAGAUCACUGUUACCAUGGUUUAUGUGAUAUGGGAGCUAGUGUUAGUGCAAUACCCCGUUCUAUAUAUGAUGAAAUCAAAGAUGAGAUUGCACCUGCUGAGUUAGAACCCAUUGAUGUUACUAUUACGCUAGCUAAUAGAGACACUAUCUGCCCUCUGGGAAUUGUGAGAGACGUAGAAGUCCUAUGUGGUAAGACGAAGUAUCCUACUGAUUUCCUCGUCCUUGGUACUGCACAAGAUAGCUUUUGUCCCAUCAUAUUUGGUAGACCCUUUCUCAACACUAUCAACGCUCACAUUGAUUGCAUUAAGCAGACUGUCACAGUUAGUUUCGAGGGUGUGUCUCAUGAAUUUAACUUCUCCAAGUUUGGAAGACAACCCCAUGAAAGAGAGUCGUCCGGUAGGGAUGAAAUCAUUGCUCUUGCCUCUAUUGCCGUACCUCCUACAGAUCCUUUAGAGCAAUAUCUGCUUGAGCAUGAAAAUGAUAUGCAUAUGGAGGAGAGAGAUGAGAUAGAUAAAAUUGUCUUAGAACAAUAUCCUAUUCUCAAGAAUAAUCUGCCUGUUGAACUGCUUGGGGAUCCUCCCCCACCAAAGGGUGAUCCUGUGUUCGAGCUUAAAUAGUUGCCUGAUACUCUUAAGUAUGCCUAUCUUGAUGAGAAGGAGAUAUAUCCUGUCAUUAUUAGUGCUCUCCUCUCAGAGCAUGAAGAGAAGAAGUUACUAAGAACUCUGAGGAAGCACCGCGCUGCUAUUGGAUAUACUCUUGAUGAUCUUAAGGGUAUUAGUCCUACUCUAUGUCAGCACAAGAUUAAAACCGAUCCUGACUUUAAACCAGUUGCUGAUCAUCAAAGGAGAUUAAAUCCUAAGAUGAAAGAGGUCGUUAGAAAAGAAAUAUUAAAGCUUCUGGAAGCAGGAAUCAUUUAUCCUGUUGCUCAUAGUGAUUGGGUAAGUCCAGUACAUUGCGUACCUAAGAAGGGAGGUAUCACCGUCGUUCCUAAUGAUAAGGAUGAACUAAUCCCACAAAGGAUUAUUACCAGCUAUAGAAUGGUGAUAGACUUCCGGAAACUGAACAAGGCAACCAGGGAAGAUCAUUAUCCUUUGUCGUUCAUCAACCAAAUGCUAGAAAGGCUAUCAAAGCACACACACUUCUGCUUUCUAGACGGUUAUUCAGGUUUCUCGCAAAUACCAGUUGCACAAUCUGAUCAAGAGAAAACCACUUUCACCUGCCCUUUCAGUACCUUUGCCUAUAGACGUAUGCCUUUUGGCUUAUGUAAUGCACCCGCCACCUUCCAAAGAUGUAUGAUGGCUAUAUUCUCUGACUUUUGUGAAAAGAUCGUCGAGGUUUUCAUGGAUGACUUCUCUGUUUAUGGGUCCUCCUUUGAUGAUUGCCUCAGCAACCUUGAUCGAGUCUUACAGAGAUGCGAAGAAACCAACCUCGUCUUGAAUUGGGAGAAGUGCCACUUUAUGGUUAAUGAAGGUAUCGUCUUAGGACACAAAAUUUCUGAGAGAGGCAUUGAAGUUGAUAAGGCUAAGGUUGAUGCAAUUGAGAAAAUGCCUUGCCCCACAGAUAUAAGAGGUAUACGAAGUUUCCUAGGUCAUGCUUGUUUCUAUAGAAGGUUCAUUAAAGACUUCUCUAAGAUUUCUAGGCCUCUUACCAACCUCUUGCAGAAGGAUGUUCCUUUUGUUUUUUAUGAGGAUUGUGAGGAAGCUUUCGAAAUACUUAAGAAGGCUUUGAUAACCGCACCUAUUGUUCAACCACCUGACUGGAACUUGACCUUGGAAAUCAUGUGUGACGCUAGUGAUUAUGCUGUUGGUACUGUUCUAGGACAAAGAGUUGAUAAGAAGUUGAAUGUCAUUCACUACCCUAGUAAAACUCUAGACAGUGCCCAAAGAAACUAUGCCACUACGGAGAAGGAAUUUUUAGCAGUCGUGUUUGCAUGCGAAAAGUUGAGAUCUUAUAUAGUUGACUCCAAAGUUACUAUUCACUCUGAUCAUGCUGCUAUUAAGUACCUUAUGGAGAAGAAGGACGCUAAGCCUAGGCUUAUCAGAUGGGUUCUCCUGCUACAGGAAUUUGAUUUGCACGUCGUUGACCGAAAGGGUGCUGAUAACCCUGUAGCAGAUAACUUGUCUAGGCUAGAGAAUGUCCUUGAUGACCCACUACCUAUUGAUGACAACUUUCUUGAUGAGCAAUUAAAUGUCAUCCGCACUUCACUUAGUGCAUCGUGGUAUGCCGAUUAUGCAAACUAUAUCGUAGCCAAAUACAUACCACCCAGUUUCACCUAUCAGCAAAAGCAGAAAUUCUUCUUUGAUUUGAGACACUACUUUUGGGAUGAUCAUCACCUUUAUAAGGAAGGAGUAGAUGGUGUUAUUAGACGUUGUGUGCCUGAACAUGAACAGGGACAAAUCCUGCAGAUGUGUCAUUUCGAAGCCUACGAAGGACACCAUGCUGGAGAUAGAACUGCCCAUAAGGUAUUGCAAACAGGUUUCUAUUGGCCCACUCUCUUCAAGGAUGCUCGUAGGUUUGUCUUGUCUUGUGACGAAUGCCAAAGAAUAGGGAACAUCAGUAAGCGUCGGGAAAUGCCUAUGAACUACUCACUUGUCAUUGAACCAUUUGAUGUCUGGGGCUUUGAUUAUAUGGGACCCUUCCCGAGUUCCAAUGGGUACACUCACAUCUUAGUUGCUGUGUAUUACGUUACUAAGUGGGUAGAAGCUAUCCCCACUAAAAAUGCUGAUCACCACACCUCUAUUAAGAUGCUUAAAGAAGUCAUUUUCCCAAGAUUUGGAGUCCCUAGGUACUUGAUGACUGAUGGCGGUUCACACUUCAUUCAUGGUGUUUUCCACAAGAUGAUAGCUAAGUAUGAUGUCAACCAUAGAGUUGCAUCUCCUUAUAAUCCUUAGUCUAGUGGUCAAGUUGAGUUGAGUAAUAGGGAGAUCAAGUUGAUCUUACAAAAGAUCGUCAACAGAUCUCGAAAGAACUGGUCUAGCAAACUCGACGAUGCACUAUGGGCUUAUAGGACUGCUUAUAAGAAUCCCAUGGGCAUGUCACCGUAUAAAAUGGUUUACGGUAAGGCCUGUCAUUUACCUCUUGAGCUGGAACACAAAGCUUAUUGGGCAAUCAAAGAGCUCAAGUUUGAUUUCAAACUUGCCGGUGAGAAGCGGUUGUUUGAUAUCAUCUCGUUAGAUGAAUGGAGAACCCAGGCAUAUGAGAAUGCCAAGUUGUUCAAGGAAAAGGUUAAGAGAUGGCACGACAAACGAAUACAGAAACGAGAGUUCAAUGUAGGUGAUUAUGUCUUGCUAUACAAUUCUCGUUUGAGAUUCUUUGCAGGCAAGCUUCUCUCUAAAUGGGAAGGUCCCUAUGUUAUCGAGGAAGUAUAUCGUUCCGGUGCCAUCAAAAUCGAUAACACGGAAGGAAAUUUUCCUAGAGUGGUAAAUGGGCAAAGAAUCAAGCAUUACAUCUCUGGUACUCCCAUAAAUGUUGAGACCAAUAUCAUCAAUGUCAUAACUCCAUAGGAGUACAUAAGGGAUGUUUAUCAGCAUGUUUCAGACCUUGAAAACGAAGAUGUAUCUGUUUUGGUAAGAAAUUGGACUCCGAUACUUUUCCAAUAGGAAAUUUCUUCCGUUUUGGAAUUUUUGGAAAAUUAGAAAAAUAAAAAGCAGUCUGUAGAGCGAACGAGGCGGGCACAAGCCCUGCCACCGCCCCUACCCCCUGGUGGCGGAGGGCAAGCUUGUGGGCACCUCAUGUGCCUCCCGGACUCCGUUUUCUUGCGGAGGACUCCUUCUGGCCCAGAAAAAAAUCAAUAUAUAGUCGCCCGAAGGUUUUGAUCUCCGUAUCGCGUAGUUUUCCUCUGUUUUCGUUUAAAGCUUGUUGUCUGCCGCAUAUUUAGAGCAAAGAUGUCUCAGGAAUCUGUUGGGGAGAAUGAUCUUCACCAAGUUCAUGAGGAAGUAGAUGCUGAUAUGAAAAGAGUAGAAGUCACGGAAUCUAGGGACCAAGCUACGGAGAAAACCCAAGCUAGGGAGGAAGUUCAACCUAUGUUCAACAUUGAAGACAUGGAAGGAGUAUAUUUUCUCCAACCCUUCCUCCACGUGCUGUCUCCAUCCUUGAUUGAACUCUUGAGGUUUUGCGAAACAACUCGUGCUCGCAAUAUUUCUCUUUCUCGUGAAGUUGUUUUGCUGGAAAACCAUGUCACAUAUCUCAAAGGUAUAAAUCAAAGAUUGAUAGCUCUCUUGGAAUCAAAGGCGAUAACUCCACCACCAUCACCACUAAAGGAAGACAACUAAGCAUUGGUAUGGGCAAUCCCCUUGGCUUCUGCCAAGCUUGGGGGAGUUGCCCUGGUAUCGUAUCACCUUUAUAUCUUUUGCUUUUACCUUUGUUUUAGUUCUUUCCUUUUCAGUUUUUAUUUCUUCUCUUAGAGGAAUAAGUCUUGUGUUUUUAGUUUGAGUCUUUUGCUUUUGUCUCUCUUCCGAUGUAUUUGAGCUCGCGAGCUAUAUAAUAAAGAGUAUCUUAGUCAAGGGCUUUGCUUUGUGCCUUGAUCAAAAGUAUGAAAAGAACGAUAGCAUGAAAGAUCAUGAGACGAUCUUAUGGAAAGUGAUAACUUCACUUGUGACACGUAUGAUGAUUGAAACUUGUUGAGAAUAAAUCAACAUAUACCUUAGUCAUUGUUGUAAUUAAUAAGAAGUAAUAACGAAAGAGAGGUUCACAUAUAAUAUAUCAUCUUAGACACUUUUUUACAAUUGUGAGCACUCACCAAACUAUUACAUGCUUAGGAGCAGAUGUUGGACAAGGAAGACAACAUAAUGAAUUGUGUUUGCUUGGUUCCAAACAAUGUUAUAUGAUUAGAGAUCCCUUAGCAUGUGACGAUUGCUUCCACCUUAUAUUAGCCAAAACUCCCGCACCAAGUAGAGAUACUACUUGUGCAUCCAUAAACCUCCAACCAGUUUUGCCAUGAGAGUCCACCAUGCCUACCUAUGGAUUGAAUAAGAUCCUUCAAGUAAGUUGUCAUCGGUGCAAGCAAUAAAAAUUGCUCUCUAAUAUGUAUGAUCUAUUAGUGUGUGGAAAAUAAGCUUUGUACGGACCUGUGAUGAGGAAGACAUAAAAGCAAUAGACUGCAUAAUAAAGUUCUUUAUCACAGGAGGCAAUAUAAAGUGACGUUCCUCCGCACUAAGAGGACACGCAUUCAAACCUCAAAAGCGCAUGACAACCUCUGCUUCCCUCUGCGAAGGGCCUAUCUUGUACCUUUACUUUUUGCCCUUGUAAGAGUCAUGGUGAUCAUCACCAAUUCCCUAUUUUUGCCUUUGUCUUGGCUACCGUCACAUGUUUGGGAAAGAUCUAUACUCAUAUAUCAACUUGGAGUUGAGUACUUAUGCUUUAUUGUUGUUGACUUUACCCUUGAGGUAAACCGUUGGGAGGCAAAACUAUAAGCCCCUAUCUUCCUCUGUGUCCAGCUGAAACUUUGACACCAUGAGUACCACGUGAGUUGUAACAAUUGUGGAAAACAAAAGAGAUGAUUGAGUAUGUGGGUUUGCCUUACAAGCUCUUAUUUGAUUCUUUCUGAUGUUGCGAUAAAUUGCAAUUGCUUCAAUGACUAUGGACUAUUGUUGGUGACUUCUCGGUAAGGUUUUUGCUUCAUGCUUUGCUUUGUGAAGGAAUUGUUACUUUCACAUAAGAAUCUUUAUGAUGUAUCGCUGUGUGAUCAUGAUGCCCUCAUGUCCGUAUUAUGUUUUAUCGACACCUUCGACCCUCAACAUGUCGACAUGUUUAGGGAACUUGGUUUUCGCUUGAGGACAAGUGAUGUCUAAGCUUGGGGGAGUUGAUACGUCCAUUUUGCAUCAUGCUUUCAUGUUGAUAUUUAUUGCUUUUUGGGCUGUUAUAUUACUUGUGGUACCAUAUUUAUGCCUUUUCUCUCUUAUUUUGCAAGGUUUAUUUGAAGAGGGAGAAUUCAGGCAGCUGGAAUUCUGGACUGGAAAAGGAGCAAAUCCUAGUCCACUAUUCUGCACAUCUCCAAAUGCCCUGAAAAGUUACGUGGAUUUUUUUGGGAUUAUAUAAAAAAUACUGGGCGAAAGAACUACGGGAGGGGGGCUGCCAGGGCGCCACAAGCCCUGACACCGCCACCCCCUGGUGGCGGAGUGGGGGCUUGUGGGCUCCCUGACGGCCCACUAGCCCCCCUCUUUUGCUAUAUGAAGCGUCCUGGUCCAUAAAAAAUCAAUCGGGAGCUUUUUCGUGGUUUCGCCGCCGCCACGAGGCGGAACUUGAGCAGAUCCAAUCUAGAGCUCCGGCAGGACGAUCCUGCUGGGGAAACUUCCCUCCCGGAGGGGGAAAUCAUCACCAUCGUCAUCACCAACACUCCUCUCGUCGGAGGGGAGGCAUCUUCAUCAACAUCUUCAUCAGCACCAUCUCCUCUCCAAUCCCUAGUUCAUCUCUUGUAACCAAUCUUCGUCUCGCUACUCCGAUUGGUACUUGUAAGGUUGCUAGUAGUGUUGAUUACUCUUUGUAGUUGAUGCUAGUUGGAUUACUUGGUGGAAGAGUUUACGUUCGGAUCCUUGAUGCUAUUCAUUACACCUUUGAUGAUGAUUAUGAUUAUGUUUUGUGAGUAGUUACUUUUGUUCCUGAGGACAUGGGAUAAGUCAUGUUAAUAAUAGUCAUGUGAAUUUGAUAUUCGUUCGGUAUUUUGAUAUGCUGUAUGUUGUCUUUUCCUCUAGUGGUGUUAUGUGAACGUCGACUACAUAACACUUCACCAUAUUUGGGCCUAGAGGAAAGCAUUAGGAAGUAGUAAGUAGAUGAUGGGUUGCUGGAGUGACAGAAGCCUAAACCCCAGUCUAUGCGUUGCUUCGUGAGGGGCUGAUUUGGAUCCACUAGUUUAAUGCUAUGGUUAGACUUUGUCUUAAUUCUUCUUUUGUAGUUGCAGAUGCUUGCGAGAGAGGUUAAUCAUAAGUGGGAUGCUUGUACAAGUAAGGGCAGUACCCAAGCGCCGGUCCACCCACAUAUCAAACUAUCAAAGUAACGAACGCGAAUCAUAUGAACAUGAUGAAACUAGCAUGACAGAAAUUCCCGUGUGUCCUCGGGAGCGUUUUUCCUCCUAUAAGACUUUGUUCAGGCUUGUCCCUUGCUACAAAAGGGAUUGGGCCACUUGCUGCACCGUUGCUACUACUUCUUACUUGAUACUUUUUGCUCGCUACGUUUCACCUCACUACACCAUCAGUUGUUACCUCUACUUUCAGUGCUUGCAGUUAUUACCUUGACGAAAUCCGCUUAUCAGAGCCUUUUACUCCUCGUUGGGUUCGACACUCUUACUUAUCGAAAGGACUAUGAUUGAUCCCCUAUAUUUGUGGGUCAUCAAGUAUCUAGGUGACAUUAGGGUCUUGGUUGAUAUGUAUCUUAAGGUGUUAUUCUAGUACGAACUCUUGAAUAGAUCGAUCAGAAAGAAUAACUUUGUGGUGGUUUCGUACCCGACAAUAAUCUCUUCGUUUGUUCUCUGCUAUUAGUGACUUUGGAGUGACUCUUUGUUGCAUGUUGAGGGCUAGUUAUAUGAUCCAAUUAUGUUAUCAUUGUUGAGAGAACUUCACUAGUGAAAGUAUGAACCCUAGGCCUUGUUUCCACGCAUUGCAAUACCAUUCGUGCUCACUUUUUUUACUAGUUACCUUGCUGUUUUUGUAAUUUCAGAUUACAAAAACCUAUAUCUACCAUCCAUAUUGCACUUGUUUCACCAUCUCUUCGCCGAACUAGUGCACCUAUAAAACUUACCAUUGUAUUGGGUGUGUUGGGGACACAAGAGAGUCUUUGUUGUUUGGUUGCAGGGUUGCUUGAGAGAGACCAUAUUCAUCCUACGGCUCCCGCGGAUUGAUAAACCUUAGGUCACCCACUUGAGGGAAAAUUGCUACUGUUCUACAAACCUCUACACUUGGAGGCCCAACAACGUCUACAAGGAGAAGGUUGCGUAGUAGACAUCAAGCAUUUUUCUGGCGCCGUUGUCGGGGAGGCUAGGUAAGAGGCACUAACAUCCCGUCAACGAAGCAUUUUCGGGGAGGUUAGCGCUUGAAGGUAUAUCUUUAGAUCUUGCAAUCGAAUCUUUUUGUUUCUUGUUCUUUAGCUAGAAAACUACCAAAAAAUGGAAUUGAGGAUGCCUCAUAUGCUCCAUCUUUUUAAUGUCUUUCGUGAGCAUGAUGGGAAGGAAAAUUGUGCUCAAGUGCUGAAAUAAGAAUUACAUAGAAUGCUUGGCAUAGAAUAUGUGAAUGAUGAGCAUGAUUGCAAUGUUGUUAGCACAAAUUCUUUGAAUACCCAUGAUGCUAAUGAUAUGCAAAGCCACAAGCUUGGGGAUGCUAUAUUUGAGGAAGAUGAUCUUUUUAGUUCUUCCACUUUGAAUGAUCAAAAUCAUUUUGAUGAAAGCAUGCCCCCUAUCUAUGAUGAUUAUUGUGAGGAUACUUAUGCUUUGAAGAAGAGGGAUGAUAAAUAUUGUCAUACUUUCGAAAACCCCUUUGCUAAACCUUGCUUUUUCGUUGUGGACACAAUUUGUAGUGCUCAAGUCUUUUACGAUACUCCCACUACUAUUCUUGAGAAUAGAUUUCNNNNNNNNNNNNNNNNNNNNNNNNNNNNNNNNNNNNNNNNNNNNNNNNNNNNNNNNNNNNNNNNNNNNNNNNNNNNNNNNNNNNNNNNNNNNNNNNNNNNGCUAUCUUGCUUAAGGGUUAGGGAUGUGACAACUUUGGAGUUGGAGGGCUUCUUCAUCAUCAUCAUCGUCCCUCCAAUGACUCGUGAGUAGUUCACUUCAGACCUACGGGUCCGUAGUUAGUAGCUAGAUGUCUUCUUCUCUCUCUUGGAUCUUCAAUAGAAAGUUCUCCAUGAUCUUCAUGGAGAUCUAUCCGAUGUAAUCUUCUUUGGCUGUGUGUUUGUCGAGAUCCGAUGAAUUGUGGAUUUGUGAUCAGAUUAUCUAUGAUAUAUAUUUGAGUCUUUGCUGAUUUCUUAUAUGCAUGAUUUGAUAUCCUUGUAAGUCUCUCUGAGUCUUGGGUUUUGUUUGGCCAACUAGAUCUAUGAUUCUUGCAAUGGGAGAAGUGCUUGGUUUUGGGUUCUACCAUGUGGUGACCUUUCCCAGUGACAGUAGGGGCAGCAAGGCACACAUCAAGUAGUUGCCAUCAAAGGUAAAAAGAUGGCGGAUUUAUCAUUGGUUUGAGAUUAUCCCUCUACAUCAUGUCAUCUUGCUUAAGGCGUUACUCUGUUCUUAUGGACUUAAUACACUAGAUGCAUGAUGGAUAGCGGUCGACGUGUGGAGUAAUAGUAGUAGAUGCAGAAAGUAUCGGUCUACUUGUUUCGGACGUGAUGCCAAUAGAAACAAUCAUUGCAUAGAUAUCGUCACGACUUUGCGCGGUUCUAUCAAUUGCUCGACAGUAAUUUGUUCACCCACCGUCUACUUGCUUUCAUGAGANNNNNNNNNNNNNNNNNNNNNNNNNNNNNNNNNNNNNNNNNNNNNNNNNNNNNNNNNNNNNNNNNNNNNNNNNNNNNNNNNNNNNNNNNNNNNNNNNNNNGACUAGGUAUUCGAACCCCAUACAUAUCAAGUAUGACACACGUACGCAUGGCAUACCGAUAUGUAUAGAUUCAUCGAUGGCAUCACAACAUAACCAUAAACAUACAACCUUUAUUCAAGAGGCUCGGAAGAGCCACACACAUAAUAUUACACAUUAAGGUCUCUCGACCCAUAAUAGCAGUCAUACAAAUACAAGCCAGCGGAAGAGUUAUAGACUGUCUGGGUACAGACAAUGCAACUAGAAGGCACAUGGCCUGACUAUACUACAGAGCCGACAUAGGGCCAGAUCGUAGCUGGGACACCAGCUACUCGUCGUCGUCGAUGUCUACGAAGAACCCUCCAUUAGGGUCAUUAGCAACCUCUGCAACAUUUAUUAAGCAAACAUGAGUACGAAGGUACUCAGCAAGACUUUAGGAGAACUAACUACUCAUGCAAGGUAUCAAAAGGUAUUGUGGGGUUUCAUGCGGGAAGCCAGCAUUUGACUCGUGGCUAGACAACUUGCAUUUUGAAAUUAGUUUUGACAACUUGAUUUCUCGCACACGAGUCCACUAACACCACAGCAAUACACUAUCGUGGAAUCAUUCCGUCUCCAUACGGAAAUGCCGUCCACGACACUCACGCUUAUCUUGCCCAUUUUAUGAGUAGCCAUUGAAGUUAUCUAUGAACAACAUAUGUCUCCAAGUAGUCCAUAUCCGCGGACGCGGCUAUUCGAAUAGAUCAUAACCCUGCAGGGGUGUACUUCGUCACACACGCUCUCGCCACUUAUCGCUAUGUGCACGUCAUGCACCUCGGCAACCUUCAAGCGGAAGCCCAGCGAGGGAGUCGGCCACGACCGUUAACCACACCAGUACCUAGUCCAGGUUUAUCGCCUAUCUGAGAGUAACCCGUACGAAAGUCCGGCCGGGGAUUCCGCCACGGCCUCAAACGAUGUGCGCAGGGUUCCCAAGCCCACCAUCCAGGUGCCACUUGGUACACCGUGCCACUGCCUACCGCAUCACGGCCCACCUCUCAGGUCAGCACCAUGCACGGCCUCCAGCAUUACUAUAAACACCAGAAACUACUUGCAACUCCUGGACCGAGUACUACGCGAUUAAUAGGCCGAGCGGGGUCAUAUUUCAGGGCCCAGCAUGUGGUAGUAUCUAGUCUUGGAUUACAUACACGGAACUCAGUUCCUAAGGACGGUUCCAAUGAAACAACCCGCCAUGUACUCCUACACAGCCUUUCACCGGCACCUUUACCAAAUCAAGUUCAACACACAACCUUUGCUCACCGAAAACAUUCCACAUUUCUGUUCAUCUCCCAGAUGACAGACCAUACACAACUCUAAGCAUAUCAUGCAUAGCAGGAUAAGGCACAUCAUAGCUCAAGCAACUACCAGGUAUGCUAGGUUGCAAGGUUCGGCUAUUUACUGUGACAAGGUUAGGUCAUGCAAAGGAAGUGGGUUCAACUAUCGUGGCAAAAGCAGUUGUAGCAUUUGAUCCUAAUGCAAUAAAUAAAUGCAGGAGCAAGAACAUGGGAAUUAUCGGGAUGAUCAAAAGGGUUGCUUGCCUUGUUGCUCAGAGGAGGAACGAUAUCCGUCAGACGGAUAUUCGGUGGAAUCCGGGGGUGCGGAGCCUACCGAAAUGAAUGGCAACAUUCAAUAACAAUCAUAUGCACUCAAAAUGAUGCAUGCGCAUGGCAUGAGAAUGCAGGGUGAUAAGUUAUUAGUUUCAACAUGUAAUAGGUUUAGAGUUGAUUUGAAUCACAUUCGAAUAGCAAUUCAAACGGGGUAUUCUCGGAUACCGGUUUAAUUGAUUCGACCUGAUGCUCAGAUCAACUUGAUGUUAACAUGCAUGAAAUGUCAUGUUAUGGUACUGAUUUGUAAUUAGGGCAGUGUGUGAUCAUUGCAUAUAUAAUGAAAUUUGAAUNNNNNNNNNNNNNNNNNNNNNNNNNNNNNNNNNNNNNNNNNNNNNNNNNNNNNNNNNNNNNNNNNNNNNNNNNNNNNNNNNNNNNNNNNNNNNNNNNNNNUGAGUACCUUCGUACUCAUGUUUGCUUAAUAAAUGUUGCAGAGGUUGCUAAUGACCCUAAUGGAGGGUUCUUCGUAGACAUCGACGACGACGAGUAGCUGGUGUCCCAGCUACGAUCUGGCCCUAAGUCGGCUCUGUAGUAUAGUCACGCCAUGUGCCUUCUAGUUGCAAUGUCUGUACCCAGACAGUCUAUAACUCUUCCGCUGGCUUGUAUUUGUAUGACUGCUAUUAUGGGUCGAGAGACCUUAAUGUGUAAUAUUAUGUGUGUGGCUCUUCCGAGCCUCUUGAAUAAAGGUUGUAUGUUUAUGGUUAUGUUGUGAUGCCAUCGAUGAAUCUAUACAUAUCGGUAUGCCAUGCGUACGUGUGUCAUACUUGAUAUGUAUGGGGUUCGAAUACCUAGUCGUGAACUUUAGUAGCACUCCUUACAAGGAAAUGCCCCUUUGUGAUCCAACGAGCCUUGGUAGUCCGCUACUGCUCCGGACACAUUGGUUGACCGGCAUGUGUCCUUCUUAGCUGUUGUGUCCGUCCUCUUUGGGGAAAUGUCACGCGACGUAAUGGAGUCCUUGUAGCUUGCUACGACUCGUCUACGUUCGCUGAUGACCGACACCUGCUUUGUUGGGUCAUGUAUGCCCGUCCUUGUGCGGAACUGCCACUUUGAUUUAUGACUAGACAUGUCGAUGCGGGUUCUUUGACAUUGGAUUGCUAGCGACACCUAUCGCAUACGUGAGUCAAAAGACGCAAACGGUCCCGGCUAAGGUAAAGCUGCAGCCGUGGAGUUAACCGUGCGUGAGACCACAAAGAGAUGCGAUGUGUUACAGGCUGGAUUCCUAUGGCUUAGGAUCGGGGUCCCGACAGCGUUGGUAUCAGAGCCUGACUGACUGUAGGAUUACUAAGCCAAACUGGUCAAAGUUGAGUCUAGAAUUGCUUUAGUUAUAUAUAAGGGAAUUGUUUGUGGAAGGGAACGUAAGACUCUUGUUCUCUUCUCAAGUUAUUCUAUUCUGGUCAUCCUCGUCUCUUCUGCGGGAAUUAAGGACUAGGUUACUCAUCUUCUCCUAGGCUCGUGUUUCCAAUCGGUAGCUUAUAGGACUACGGGUCGAGAGAUAUUGGGUUUCUUUUAUUCCUAGGAAGCAGGAAGUAAGUUUGGUGACCAGAGAGUUGAACUUGAUAGUUGAGUGGUUACGCUAUUCCAUUUUGGGUUGUCUCAAAUUUGUUUUGAGCAUUUACAGCCGUUAUGCUGCCCAAUUUUGCAUUCAGAGCUCUAAUGCUUUUGCAUUACUCUCUAUUUACAGAUGUCUGGCCGUCCUUCCCGUCAGGUGGUACGUCUGACCAGGUGCAUUGAUGUACCGGGUCAUACGGCCAUGCUGGUCAGGGUGAUGUCGGUGUGCGGUUACCGCUGGUACCCCGAGUACACAGUGGAGGAACAGUACCGGGACUUCAACCAGAGCCAGUACAUCUGCACUGUUAGGGUAUUCCUAGACUACCCUGGAGCGGAGAAGCCAAUCCAUUGGUCCUAUGGGUUGGGGGUCACCGUUGACAUGGGAGUACAAGAUGCUGCCUAUUCAAUGCUGACUAUUAUGAGAGCGAGACAUGCACUGCUGCAGAAUUCAGAGUUCUGCUAUGUUCCGGCCUCUCAGUCUGGUGAAGAGGGAUACCUCAGUGGACUCUAUUUUGAUUCUUCUAUGGAGGAUCCACUUCUGCAGACCACUGUUGAGAUGCUAGAGAACAGAGACAACGAUGCUCGUGCUCUCCGCAUGGAGCUUUAUGCUACUCGUGCCCGUCUGUGGACAGCUUUGACGCAGCUAGCACCGGUAGUCCAGACAGGGUAUGGAGAGAUGGAGAUGCUGAACCCUGUUAGGACCCAUCUUCCGGCUCACGUUGACUGGCCAGCUAUAGGAGGAGUCACACCUCUUCGGAGACCCCUCUUACCACCAGUCAGGGGACCAAGGCCACAUCCGUGUCCUUAUGGAUCCCAGGGGUCUCAGGCUAGAGUGUUUCCUGAUCCGCAGGUUGAGCUUCCAGGUCAUGGAGGUAAUCUCUAUGAGAUGUUCUAUGCGGAUGCCUGAGCUGUGAGCGGAAGGAUAGUAUGGUAGUAGUCGUACGUUCAAAGUCCUGCGUGACUUGUGAAGUAUGGUAGUAAUGUGAAAUGAAUUCCAGAGGCCUAGAUAAAUAAUGUAUAGGAAGCUUGUAAGCCUCUGAUGAGUAGUUCCACCAUUUCAGUAGUUUGCUCUUCGGGUAAGUUUGUACUGAACUAUGUAAGGGUGUGUAUGAACCAUGGUGUAUAUAUAGCAGUUGCUUGUUACCAUGUUGUUCGGAUAUUCAUUUCCGCAUUCCGUGUGUUCAGUACAUUCUUAAUCCAUAGCUAGUAUUGAUAUGAUAUUGGUCUAAGCUAUGAGUUUGUUUGUCAGGAUGGUGUUCACCAGGUUGAACCGUGCCCCUGCUCAUGAGCAAGGUGAGGGUAGUCAAGCGUCGCAGGAAGACCUGCCUCACCCACCUUCUCUGGUAGAAGUGAUGCUUGAGGCAGAAAGAAACAAAAGGGAGACCAACCGACUGCUAGAGCGUAUUGAGCAGAAUACGGNNNNNNNNNNNNNNNNNNNNNNNNNNNNNNNNNNNNNNNNNNNNNNNNNNNNNNNNNNNNNNNNNNNNNNNNNNNNNNNNNNNNNNNNNNNNNNNNNNNNUGCCCCAACGGCUCCCCCACGCGGCGCGCCCCGUGGGCAUCGUCGUACUGCUCCAGCUGUGGAGCCGCCCGCACCGGCCUCCCCCGCAACGGGGGAAUCGCCGAUCCCGGAGGCUUCUCCGCUAGUUGCCCCGGGCGUCUCGGCCCCGUCUCCUGCACCACCGGGCCCCGCUCCUGUCGGCACGACGCCUCCACCACCUGCUGCCCCCGUGCCCAGUACGGGGCCGGCCUCUCCCUCAACUGCCCCACCUGCUGCCCCCGUACACUUCGGAGUGCUUACCCGUGCGCGCGCGGGUGUCCAUCGACCCAGCCAGAGGUACUCCUCCAACGAGUACGUCUGCACUGCCACCACGACGGCUCCUUCGCCGCUCCCUGCGUCCGUCCACUCGGCGCUCCGGGACCCUCACUGGCGCGCCGUCAUGCAAGACGAGUACGACGCGCUACUGAGGAAUCGCACCUGGCAGCUGGGUCGUUCGCGGCUUCCGGCAACGGGCUGGUCUCGACUUGUGACAGCCCAAGUGCAAUCUCCCCUCCCCUUUUGUAUCCUCCUUGUAUGGCAACCUUGGCAUGUUGGUGUGAUGUGGGGUGAGCCUAACUUUGUGUCAUCAUUUCAUGUGCAUCAUGCCUUCUUGCAUUGCAUUCUUUCCCUUUUGUUGUGGUUGUGUUGAUGUGGGUGUCCUUGUUGUGAUGUGCAAGUGUUGUGUUGAUGUCCUUAGUGAUUGUUUAGGUGUGGGGGCAACAAGUGCAUGUCAAAACCCACAUGUUGCUCCAUAAGGAGAAAACCCUUCUCUCUCUAUGUUAAUUUGUGGCAGGUUUAAAAGGCUUUGUUUCUCCAUUUAAAAAAAUGUUCAUCUUUCCCUAAAAAAAAUCCUUUUCAUUUUGUGGAGGCAACCCCUCUGGUUUCUACUUUACUUUCCUUCUUAUCUUAUUUAAAAAAUCAAAGCCCAUUUAAAUUAGAUGAAUAUAAUUUUGGACUUCUAAAAAUGUUCCACUUAUUUUUAUAAACAGUGGCAACANNNNNNNNNNNNNNNNNNNNNNNNNNNNNNNNNNNNNNNNNNNNNNNNNNNNNNNNNNNNNNNNNNNNNNNNNNNNNNNNNNNNNNNNNNNNNNNNNNNNGGGGUUGUCAAUCCCUUAUAGAUUGUUUGCCAAGUGAGAACUGAAAGCAACAAAGUAACAAAUCAAAGUAAAAGCGGAGGUGUAAACGAUGGAUGUGAAUAGACCCGGGGGCCGUAGUGUUUACUAGUGGCUUCUCUCAUGAAAGCAAGUAGACGGUGGGUGAACAAAUUACUGUCGAGCAAUUGAUAGAACCGCGCAAAGUCGUGACGAUAUCUAUGCAAUGAUUGUUUCUAUUGGCAUCACGUCCGAAACAAGUAGACCGAUACUUUCUGCAUCUACUACUAUUACUCCACACGUCGACCGCUAUCCAACAUGCAUCUAGUGUAUUAAGUCCAUAAGAACAGAGUAACGCCUUAAGCAAGAUGACAUGAUGUAGAGGGAUAAUCUCAAACCAAUGAUAAAUCCGCCAUCUUUUUACCUUUGAUGGCAACUACUUGAUGUGUGCCUUGCUGCCCCUACUGUCACUGGGAAAGGUCACCACAUGGUAGAACCCAAAACCANNNNNNNNNNNNNNNNNNNNNNNNNNNNNNNNNNNNNNNNNNNNNNNNNNNNNNNNNNNNNNNNNNNNNNNNNNNNNNNNNNNNNNNNNNNNNNNNNNNNUCACGAGUCAUUGGAGGGACGAUGAUGAUGAUGAAGAAGCCCUCCAACUCCAAAGUUGUCACAUCCCUAACCCUUAAGCAAGAUAGCAUUGUGCUCAUGUCUUCUUUGCAUUUGCAUCUAAGAAGUUUCAACAAAAACAACAAAGUGGCAAAGGAAAAACUCAAAACCCUAGCCACCAUUUCAAAUUAAAGGAAAUCUCAAACUAGUUCAAAAUCAAUGAACCCAAAAUGGCCUCAAGAAAUGUUCAAACUUUCUGAUAAAUCAUGAAAGUAAAUGAGCAUUGGAGAAAACUAUUUUCUUGACACUUUAAGCUUUUUAAAUUAAUGCAAAAGCCACUGGUUUCAAAUUUAAAAUUUGAAAUCAGAAACUAUAAUUUUCCAAAAAUGUUGAAAACCUUGGAAAUGGUUGGGGAUAUUAUAACAAAUAUUUCAGGAGGUCUAAAAUAGUUUUUACUUUUUGUUUUGGAGCUGAAUUAAUUAGCAAAACAAUAAUUAGCAAAACAGAAAAACAAAAACAGAAAAAUAAGGAAAAACCUUACCUGUCGCCUAAGCCUGGCCCGGCCCAUCCCUGGCUCGUCCCCUCCCUCGCACCAGUAGGCAGCAGGAGGUGGUCGCCGCCCCCUCCGGCGCGGCCACGCACCUGCGUGCCUGCCUGGCCGCCGCCUCGCGCUGGCGACGACGGGGAUAAGCUCCCCAGAGCCUCCCCUAUCCAUUCCCCGCCUCGGUUCUCUUCCUCCACCCGGAUCUCUUCCUCCUCCCCGCUGCCGCCAUUGGAGCCGAGCUCGAGCUCGAGCUGCCCGUGCCCCUAGCCUUAGGAUCCCCUCCCAGAGCAUGCCAUUAGCGCCGCCUCGUCGCCCUGGUCAUCUCUACAGAAGCCGAAGCUUCCUCGAGCCCUGCAACGCCCGCAACGCCGUCGUCUUCCACCUCCGGCCGCCGGACCUCUCCCGUCGAUUCGCUUCCUCCGGCGCAUCCCCGAGCCCCUCUUCAGCACCAUCGGAACGGCCGUGAGCUCGUCGUCGUUUCCCCUCUCGCCCCACGCUCUCCCGUGCAUCGUAUCCUAGUUCCCCACCAAGGCCGAGAGCUUCUCGCCGCCGGCCAUGUCGCUGUCGUCGUUGUGAUGACUGAUCCACGCGCCCGAGCUAGGAUUCGAGCUCCUGGAGCCUCCAGGAGCGUGCCGAGCCCUCCAGCUGCCCUCCCCGUGCCCUAGAACCGCCCCUCAUAGAAGGCCGAGCUUCGGCCGCCGCUCCGGCUCAUCGCCGACGCCUCUUCCGGCGACCCUAGCCUCCCCAGAUGGUCCUGCCAGAUCGGCCACUUCGCGAGCAUGCUGUAGCUGCAAACCGCGUGCGUUUUGGUGUUGUGCAGCGCCGUCUAGGUCGCCUCCGGCGAGCCCUCCGCCGCGGGCCUGGUCGCCGGCGACCACCCUCCGGUGGGGGUCGACGUGGCAAGCUAACCCAGCAGCUUAGGGACCUAAUCACUCGCUGACAAGUGGGCCCAAGGCCAAGUCAAACCUCAGUUAGGGCUGGUCAGCGUGGGAUUAGUCCCAGAGAGGCUGUCCAGUGGGGCCCCCCUGUCAGGUUUGACCUGAACAAGUCGGCUGACCUGCUGAUGUGAGCCUGAGGCAAUAAAUAGAAUUUCCAGUAUAAAACUAAUUCAGGAAAUUGCUAAAAUNNNNNNNNNNCGGGAUUAGUCCCAGAGAGGCUGUCCAGUGGGGCCCCCUGUCAGGUUUGACCUGAACAGGUCGGCUGACCUGUUGAUGUCAGCCUGAGGUAAUAAAUAGAAUUUCCAGUAUAAAACUAAUUCAGGAAAUUGCUAAAAUUUGUAAAAAUCAUAGAAAUUAAUCUGUAACUCCAAUGAAAAUAAUUUAUAUAUCAAAAAGUAUCAGAAAAAUUCAAGGAUUCUGAUUAUGCUAUUUUCAACCAUGUUUAAAAAAGUUACAGAACCCUAAAUUGUGGAAUAAGGAAUAAUUCAAUUCUUUUAAUCACUUUAUAAAUGGAAUUUGCAAAAAAAUUCAAAUUUCAUUAUAUAUGCAAUGAUCACACACUGCCCUAAUUACAAAUCAGUACCAUAACAUGACAUUUCAUGCAUGUUAACAUCAAGUUGAUCUGAGCAUCAGGUCGAAUCAAUUAAACCGGUAUCCGAGAAUACCCCGUUUGAAUUGCUAUUCGAAUGUGAUUCAAAUCAACUCUAAACCUAUUACAUGUUGAAACUAAUAACUUAUCACCCUGCAUUCUCAUGCCAUGCGCAUGCAUCAUUUUGAGUGCAUAUGAUUGUUAUUGAAUGUUGCCAUUCAUUUCGGUAGGCUCCGCACCCCCGGAUUCCACCGAAUAUCCGUCUGACGGAUAUCGUUCCUCCUCUGAGCAACAAGGCAAGCAACCCUUUUGAUCAUCCCGAUAAUUCCCAUGUUCUUGCUCCUGCAUUUAUUUAUUGCAUUAGGAUCAAAUGCUACAACUGCUUUUGCCACGAUAGUUGAACCCACUUCCUUUGCAUGACNNNNNNNNNNNNNNNNNNNNNNNNNNNNNNNNNNNNNNNNNNNNNNNNNNNNNNNNNNNNNNNNNNNNNNNNNNNNNNNNNNNNNNNNNNNNNNNNNNNNAGACACAACAGCUAAGAAGGACACAUGCCAGUCAACCAAUGUGUCCGGAGCAGUAGCGGACUACCAAGGCUCGUUGGAUCACAAAGGGGCAUUUCCUUGUAAGGAGUGCUACUAAAGUUCACGACUAGGUAUUCGAACCCCAUACAUAUCAAGUAUGACACACGUACGCAUGGCAUACCGAUAUGUAUAGAUACAUCGAUGGCAUCACAACAUAACCAUAAACAUACAACCUUUAUUCAAGAGGCUCGGAAGAGCCACACACAUAAUAUUACACAUUAAGGUCUCUCGACCCAUAAUAGCAGUCAUACAAAUACAAGCCAGCGGAAGAGUUAUAGACUGUCUGGGUACAGACAGUGCAACUAGAAGGCACAUGGCGUGACUAUACUACAGAGCCGACGUAGGGCCAGAUCGUAGCUGGGACACCAGCUACUCGUCGUCGUCGAUGUCUACGAAGAACCCUCCAUUAGGGUCAUUAGCAACCUCUGCAACAUUUAUUAAGCAAACAUGAGUACGAAGGUACUCAUCAAGACUUUAGGAGAACUAACUACUCAUGCAAGGUAUCAAAAGGUAUUGUGGGGUUUCAUGCGGGAAGCCAGCAUUUGACUCGUGGCUNNNNNNNNNNNNNNNNNNNNNNNNNNNNNNNNNNNNNNNNNNNNNNNNNNNNNNNNNNNNNNNNNNNNNNNNNNNNNNNNNNNNNNNNNNNNNNNNNNNNAAGACAUAGAAACGUAUCAAUACCAUCAAAACAUAUCAAUAUAGACAUGAAAUCUAGUUUCAAAGACCUCGUCACAGCAAAUUUAAUGAUGGAAAUAGAUUUUUAAUUUGGCUUUUCGUUUAAGGGAUAAGACAUUUUGAAUUUUGAGAAAAUGAUGUUUACAUCAUCUACAUUUGUUUUCACUUGCAUGUAUGCAUGGAUGCCAUUCCGCACUUUCCCUCGUCAGGGACUGUUCGCCCAUUAUUACAGUCGAAAACUAAAACAAUGAUAUGUACUCCCUCUGUUCCUAAAUAUAAGUUUUUUAAGAGAUUUCAAANNNNNNNNNNNNNNNNNNNNNNNNNNNNNNNNNNNNNNNNNNNNNNNNNNNNNNNNNNNNNNNNNNNAAUGAUAUGUAAUUACAUACUCUUAAAAAUAAUAAUUAAAUAAAAAGACAAUCCUUGGAAAUUACCAGUCUAGUCUUAUUCUAAGACCUGACGAAACAUUAUUGAGUACCCGUCAUAUACAAGAGGAUUCGCUAGCAAAGGACUAUCAGAAAGGUUCAGGCAAUCUGCUGCCCAGGUCAUACACGAUUAUUCAUCAGGUUGGACACAAGCUAAGCUGCUUUCCUUCUGGAGAGUAAUUUGAAAAACUGUUCAAAGGCAGGGUAGAAUGAUCAUCCUUCGUGAUACACUAAACUGGAAACAAAAAACUCAGCUCGAUGCAUUUACAUGGACAGAAAUCGAAGUAUGUAACGGGUGAAGCUACCAUCAUGCCUCCAGGUCGUUCAGGUUUCUCGGAACUUUGACAAAAAGUUUUGAAACGAAGAGAAACCUUCCAUCGCAUCGUGCGGCAUGUUAAGCGUGAAAGGGGGAAGAACACUCGGACCAGCCUUCAGGUUCUUCGGGCCAGCGGCUGACGGUAGCGCAAGUGCAGGCUGCUGUCUGUUGAGCUUUUCUAUGAUGUACGAGAAAGUUCCAAAAGCCAGGCAGCUCUGAAUCAGAGUUUGCGGUGCACCU
This 58155-nucleotide long non-coding RNA is filed under the name Hordeum vulgare. RNAcentral describes it as "long non-coding RNA (HVUL_LNC011952)". The record is from RNAcentral. Lineage: Eukaryota; Viridiplantae; Streptophyta; Magnoliopsida; Poales; Poaceae.